UUUUUUUUUUUUUUUUUUUUUUUUUACGGUUGCAAGUGAAAGUUGUAAGAGAAUAAUGCUUGGAUGUUUUAUUCAUAACUGUAAGGAAUAUAAGGUUAUGGUACAAACCUGCGCAAUUGAAUAAUUGUGUAAACCAGAUGACCUUGUGGAGAAGAUCUUGAUUCAAUUGCACUUUGGUAGCAUGGCCGUAGUUACAGGGCUAUUCUUUCCUGGUCAAGUAGCAAUUGUUUAAAUUGAAUACUCAAUAAUUUUUACGAGGGAUUUGCUAACAUAGUCGUCCCUUUUCGCCCUACUAUUUAUCAAGAGAUAAUAUAGAACAAUCUUACUUAAUUUUAAUGAAAUUUUUUCAAAGAAGGAAGAUGAUAGAAUCUAUCUUAAUCCGUGUCCGCAUCUAUUUGCUUAGCAAAGGGGAAAUAAAUAAAGCAUAUGAGUUUGAUCAUUAAUGAUGCUGGGCAUUCCAAGUACACACUAACAUGCAGAUUUUAAGCCCAAAGAGGUCGCGAUACACGGACUUGUCUGACAGAGUUCUUCGUAUCUCUCUGGUUAUUUUCAACUCCAUAUCUUCUCACCAGGAAUAUCGCUUUACAUUUUUAAUAAACAUGAACUACUAAUACGUUCUAUCAAUUGCGUUGCUUCUGUUGCAAAGGGUUUGGGGUGGCAGAGAGCAAUCAUAAUGGCGGGGAUUUUCUGGAUCUUGAGACAUAAUUGAUAGAUGGUCCAACAAAAAAUACAUGCGUAUAUAUAUAUAGAAUUAAUCUUCUACACACUGACAGUGUAUACACUCUCACCGUUAGAUAUAUGAUACAUAAUUCGAAAUAAUCCCAAAACCAAAAUUCUCUUUUGAAGAUCAAAUGCCUUAAAUUCAUGAUUCACCUAUCCUGUUGGAAGGGGGUAUGAACCGUGUAUCAAUGCAUUCGGAGGCAAAGAAUUCUAUGCACCAACUGUAACUUUCGAAGGUAAAACUUACAAAGUGACGUGUACACUACUGGUAAGUUAACUCAGAAAGUCCUUGAAUACUUUUUGAUUUCAUACAUUAUUGAUGGUAUGGAAACAAGAUCUUUGUUUAGUGCAGAUCCACCAGGAAUCUCUUUUAUGCAAUCCAAAAGUCUAGUGUAGUAGAGAAGCAGCUGAGUCAAAGCAGCUCUCAAUAUCUCCAUGCCGCAGAGGAAGUUGCUGAAUGAUUUGAUGACAUCGGUAUGCAUCAAUUCUAUCGCAGCUUUCCAUCUACUUGCAAAGUCCUUCACAAGAGGCUCGAUUUCAGCUACAGAUAUAGGCUUCUCUGACACAGCUUUUGAGUCCUCAGCUGACAGUAAAUUUCACAUAAGCAUAUUAGGAACCUUGAACAACUUAUAGUUGAUCUAUAAGACAUAAUAGUCAUACUUACAGGCUCUGGUCUUCACAAACUUGAUGAGGUCACUGAAAUGCUCCAAGAGUAACUCUUCCUGCAAACAAAAAUGACAGGGUGUCCUAUUACCAAAGAGAACAAGCUGUAGCUGAGAUUAACUCAAAAACUUCAGUUCAACUUCCAACAAUUUCUGAGAGGCAGAUUCCUUCAAAAGCAAUAAGGAGUUUUAACUGUCUAGUUGAAAUGCAAAAUACGCAAAACUAUUUCAUCUUCCUUUGGAAUUCUAAUAAAUCAAGGGAUGGGAAGAAACGCUAUUUUAUAAACUACUAUCCGUUGUCUUAAUUACCAGAAAGAACAAGCUAUAAUCUAAAUUAACUCAAAAGCUUCAGUUUAACUUCCGAUGGCCCAAAAAUUUCUGAAAGAGAUAUUCCUGCCAGGAAUCCAAUCACCUAGUUGAAAAGCAAAAUAUGUAAACUUUUAUAUCUUUAUUAGAUCGUUCCACUACAUCAAGGGAUAGGGAACAAUUUAGUUUGAUGUUAAACAAGAUCAAUAUAUAAAAUAACACAAUAUCUAUGAAUAACUAUGCAACCAUCUUAAAAGCUGGAAUUGCAGAACAAGAGCAAAGAUUACAUUUAGCACCACAACUUAAAAGACUAUAAAAGUAACAUUCCACCAGAUUUUUACCUUGCUAUAUUUUUAAAAGACAGAUCUCUAAAGAAAAACUUAUCAAGUAUAGUGCUUCCAAAAUGCUUCCAUUUAGAUCCAAGAGCAGAGAGAAAAGAAAGGACCGUAUCCUGAAAGUCAAAAACGCAUGCAUUGAAUCCAUUAGUCAUAUGCUCACCACAAAAACAGCAGUAUUGUUCUUCAGCAGAUCUUCAAAGUACAAUUGGAUUUUCCCACCCUCUGGCCCAGCUUCCUGAUACAUGUAAAAAUCAUGUUUCAGAGCUCACAAUCUCAUGAUUCAACCCAUUUAAAAAAAGAUUUAGACCAUGACUACUCAUCUAACAGUUUCCACAGUAGACAAAAGUAGCUGAUUGUGAUUAAAAUCAGAGUAAGAUCACAGUUUCAUACACAACCAACUAGACAUUAUUUGGUUAUAAAGUUAUAUAAUGUAACUAUACCUUCAGUACAGAAAUUGUCAUGUCAUAGUUGUUAAUCAGGAAUACAGUCUGCAACUUUGCUUUUGAGAAUGUUUUUGACAGUUUGAUAAGCAAGUCAUCAACAGCCAUUCUCAGUCUUUCCAGGUUAAGUUCAAGCUGGAAAAUCACAUCAAGCGAGAUUAGCAAUUAACGUGAAUGCCAGUUCCAAUUCAAAUACAGAGAACCUUCCAGCAUAUUAUACCUGCCCAUCUCCAUAUUCCACAUUUAGGUGGAUCAGUGAAGCCGUGAACUCUGCAUAGCGCCUCAUGACAUAAUGAGGGUGAACAUCAUCUUCCCACAAACUUCUGACAUUGGCAUUUCGCAGGCUGUUGAGGUGCAUGUCAAACACCAUCUUGAAACGAGGCCAUAAAGCAAUAUUGACCUGCUCGUAUUCAUUCCAGUAAGCUUCAAUAGUAUGUAUGCCACACAAUGAAUCAAUGAUGACCCAAGGACGUUGUUUUCAAACUUUCGAAUCUAAUUUGCAACAUCACAGAAAAGCCCUUUUUUGGGCAUUAAUCCUCACUGAGCCGUCAGUCACCUUAGAUCCAUAGCUCACCAUCAAUCAAACUGCGGCACUGGUGGGUAAACUCGCAGUUUCAAAACAUCCUUAAAUCUAUAUGGUUUGGCUACUAUAUUUUCCUCAGCACAUUUCAUUACCAAGGUCAGCUUGAUUUCUUUGGAAAUGUGUUAAUACUGGAUAGUUGCAACAAAACUUUCCAUUAGACUAGGCGAGAAAAACGAUAGCACACCCAAUUAUAGCUGUUUUUAACAUAGUAAAUUGUUGCACUAGAAUUUAGUUUUCCAAUCACACAUAAAGCUUUUUUAGAAUCUGAAUCAUAGUUAUAAUCAGAGAUCUGGGUUAUACUAACUGCAGUGAAAUAAGGAGAGAAUUAUCCAACACCGCUGAUACAAUUUCUUUCUCUUUUUAAGUGGACAAUACGAUUCUCAACCGUGCUGUGAAAAGAGAACAUACAACUGACUAUCUUAUAACCAUCAGUAAUUUGCUUUUUCAUUUCAGACUAAAUUUCUAUUGCUGGUGAUUCAUGCAAUAGGCUUACUUUUGCAGUAUCCUAAGUCAUAUUGCUUAGUGGAAAGGUUCUUUUACGACAGUCCCAUCUAGAAAAAAAAAUAAAACCAUUCUGAGUUCAUUCCUAGGAAAAAAAAUUUAUAUAACAGAAACUAUCUUGGGAUUUACACAUAACACCAACUUCUUACAAUAGAAGAAGAAAAGAAAGCUUCAUGACAUUUAGCAAUGACAAAAGUUGAUAAAGAUGAUACAUGAAACUAUCUUGGGAUUUACCUUAUCCAAGUAAGAAUCGAGACAUGGUAUUCGGCGGCGUGACAUUAUGAGCUGACGAAAAGAUAAAAGAAGCUUACUGUAAGAAUCACAACAACUUUGUCAAACUAAUCAAACUCAUUCUACUCUUAGUAAACUUGAAGUUUUUCUGAAUGCAAAACACAUUUAAACAAUAUCAGCAAAAUAUAGUCAAAAUGCAAUUCAACUAUGAAGCUUCAGUGCAAUUACAAAUCCUUUUUUCCCCUUGUUCAAAAACUUCGUGUUAUCAGGUAUUAAUGAGAUUUGUACAACCCGUUUCAUUUGCAAUUACAGGCACACAAAUCACAACUGAAAAGUCGAAAGGAGUAAACAUUUACUCUUAAUAAUAAAAAAAAAGCUAAUAUAAGACGAAGGAAAACUGCUCAAAAAACUCCUAUCCAUAUUAGAGGAGGAAGCAGUACAUAAUCUGGUGCAAAAAUAAAAUUCAGAGUCAACUAAUAAGGAAUAAAAAUUCCAUCCAAAAUUUCAGUAAUUAUAUUUACAGAGCUCAAACAAAAAGGAUUCUAACCAUUAGCUUGAUAUUGUAAAAAUAUUCUCAAAUGAUAGUGGUUCUCCAAUACUUGUGGAAAUAUAUAAAUCAUUUCCAGAAGGCCUUCUAGUUUUGAAAGUUGAUGGUGCUCUUUUAUAGGAGAUCUACAAUUUUCCUCACUUACCAAAGCCUGAAUUUCUCUAAAGAGUCCCAUACUCGAUGGUUGUAACUGCAAAUGGCUGCAAAUAUACAAACCAAAAACUAUGAAAAAGCUAAAGUACUAGACAUGAUGAACCUUGAGCACUUCUAGACAUUUGAGCCUUUAACAUUUUGAGAAUUAUUGAGAUAAUUUGCCAGGCUCCUUGUUUUAACUUGACCCAUGGUUGCUAACAUUAAUUGUAGCAUAUGCCAAACUUAACCAUAGAAGUAAAAUUCUUACAUGUCAUACAGAAAACGAUGCUAAAAACUUAUAUAGUGUAAUUCUCUAAACUAAAAAUUUUAAUUAUUAUAAGCCAUAAUCUAAUGUCCUUUUCAAACCUGAAGUGCAAAAUAGGUAAAGAGUGCCCCGUACAAGAUGUCACUAUGUGUUAUUGACAUAGCUGAGUAGAGUAGGCUGCAAUCUUAAAGUUUUCAAACUGUGUUUCUCCACUGCAUUGAAACAUAGUUUGCAAUAGGAGCUGUGGGAAAAACAAAUUUCAAGUACGUUGAUUUUGUCAUUCUAUGACCUUAAUUGCAGAUCCAACUACUUUCACAAAGUUGAUUUAACAUGUACUCCCAUGAUUCUGCUUGUUUUUCUCGCUUUAGGUUUGAGCAUGAUUUUCAGAAAUUCAAUUUUAUGGGUUUGCACACCAAAGUUACUCUUGUAAUUGACGUGAGAGAGGAUAGAAAGCCAAAAAGUUCAUCAUUUAAGUGUUUAGUAAUGGUGGAAUUGGAAUGUCUAAUAGCAGCAACCAAGUUAUUCUGUCAAAAAUUAAAGAAUGAUAUAACAUGUAGCUUAAGAAAAUGUCAUGAUACGAAAUGAACUUGUGUUGAUCUUGAUAUUCUACAAUUUUGUUUUUUUUUCCUGCCCCGCCAACUGACAAGGUAUUUAAACAUAAAGUACCUUGAACUUCGAACAAUUUGAUUUCGUGAGCAGAACUAUCAACAUGUAUCCCUUCACUAUCAACAUGUAUCCCUUCACAUAAGGUCACAUAUUUCUUCAUAUUUGAUAAUUUUCCAUGUUAAAGCAUUAUUAUUGCCAUAGUUGACCCUAGUAAUUUGGCACUUGACAAACAAUUUUUCAGACGGGCAUUGCCUAAUUGAAGCAUUUAUUGUGAGAAAAUUUCAACUAGAUACAAGUUUGUAAAAAUAACUUUUGCAUUACAGGUGAUCAAUAAAGGAUAAAUAGUAAAUCAAGAGGAAGAAGAAAAAAAGAAACAAGAUAAAGCUAAACCUCAAAAACACAAAAAUGUUUUUCUAUACCUGUUGGAUACUUAUUGCAAAGGGAAUAAUAAAGUAUAACUUGGAAAUCAGGAGAAUCGUGUACGGAUAAAUGUUAACUGUAGGGUCGAACCAAUAUUUCUAACAAACUGUAGUGUUUCUAAAGGAAAACAAACUUUUGGGAAAAACUUGCUUUUGACAGAAAAAGAUAUAUGCCAAAUUAGUUGAUUUAAAAAUAAGAAAAUACGUUUACCUACUAAUAUGAAACACAAAAACAAAAAAAAAAACUACUUUGUCUCAAUUGAUAUUGCAGUGAGGCAGGGAAAAAUCAAGCAAUAAAUGGCUGCUUGGAACAAAAUUGGUUCCAUGUUAACAUUAUCAAGGAAACAAAAGAAGGAAAACAACUUUAAAUAAAAAGGCAAUUAAUUAUGCUCAGUCAAAUUCAUAGUUUUAGAUCAACUGAGAUAACAAUCGCAAUGUCCCAAGAUUUCCAAGGGUACAUCCUUCAUCAAUGAAGAGUUGUUUAUACUUCCUCUAAUUAGUUUAUCUAACUUUGUCAACCUAUAUAUAUUCUCUAUAGUCAUUCGUCCGAGUUCUACCAUAAAGUGCACAACAUAUCCUUUCUAGUAAACAUCAAAUGGCCGCACUGGAUUUGCUAACAUAUUAUUGAUCAGUCCCCAAACUCUUAAAAAAUCAGAGACAAUCAGAAACAGGAAACUGAAGCAACAUGAAGAUAAACAAUGAAUCAUAACCAUCUAGAAAAAAAUAGAUCAGAUACUUAAUCCAACUACAGGCAACUAAAAUUCCCUCAACAGAAUAUAGAUAAUUUAAGAAAAUUUCCAAUCAAAACAAUAACUCAAAACAAGAAUUUUGCCAUAAUAGACACCUCUUAGAUCCAAAAGAAAAUGAAAAUCAUAUGAAAAAGCUAACCUUGCAAACUGAACUUAGGACAGGCAAAUGCAAUUCUUUUUCAGCAUGACUAAACGAUUACCUAAUCUGGUGCCAUAAGAAAUUGACAAUCAUGACGUAAACACAAAUCCAUAUUCAAAAAGAAAAUUGACAAUCAUGACAUAAGCGCCAUAAGACCAAAAAGACAGCUCAACAUAGAUGUCCUAUGAACAAGAAUGUAUUGUGAUCACUAAAAGUGGAAAAAAGAGUCAGUUACAUAGUGAGUUGGUCAGACAUCAAUUGCAGAUUCUACAAUGCACACCAUUAAAGAUACAAGAAUAACAACACAUAGCAGACAUGAUUAUAGCGCUAGUUUCAAAAGACAAGGUUCGUAGAGCCUUUUCACUUCAAUCUAGACAAACUGGGUAGGUAACAAACUCUGUUUCAUGCAUAUUACCAAGAAAGAGAGGAGAUUAGAGAGUAAUGCACUAAUUCCACAAUGUACUAACAAAGUUAACAUAACAUUGGAGUUAUCGAUGGGAAUGUUAUAGCAUAUAAAACAUCCAAUGAAAUACUUAAAUAAAUGGUAUCCUUGUUUCAAGAUUACACGGUUUUCCAAAAGCUUUCAAAGUUCUCUAUUCUGGAUUCUACACAUUGAAUGACCAUCUAAGUUCUGACAUAUUAUGUCAAUUGGAAGGGAAAGAAGAACAUAAAGUCAGUCACAUCAAAUGAGUUACAAGAAGUUAGAAGUUGUGCAUUACCUGGUGCUGGUGUAUGAUGCGGAUCAUAAGCAUCAAGCCAAUAGCAUCAAAACAAUUUGGCAGGAUCGAGUUGAAGUGUUCAUCAAUUACAGUAAAGGGACCUACAGUUUCAAUAUGACCCAUUUCAUACCAUAAGAAUCCGAAUACUUGCUAAAUUAACACCAAGACUGAAAAAAAAAGCAUGACCAAAUGGCCGGUAUUCAAAAAUGAAUUCAGCAGUUCUAAAUUCACUAACAAACUACCAUGUUUCUAUUGCUAUUCAACAAGUUUUUAAAUCUCCUAAGAGGUGAUCAAUAUAAGAGAAUAAUACAUUCUUAUCAGGGAAUGAGCUACCAAAAGUAAUACAUUCUCAUUAGCAGCAACUGUGAAGUUAGAUGAUCAAAUUGGAAGUCAUCAAAUAACUGCUAUAAUGAAGUCCUAAAAUAUUCAUCCCCAUAGAAUAGUGAAUAAACAAUGUACCUGCAAAUAUAUCAUUAAAAAUGGAUUCUUCUCCAAAGAAAUCAUCACAGAAAAGGUACCUGAAAGAGGGAAAAAACAAAAACAUAAGAAACAUUCAAUUGAAGGAAAGUAUCACCUUAUAUUCCAUAAAGAAUAUCAGAGAGAAAAAUAUGUAGUACUCAGAGGUUGCAGUAUCCAUAAGCAGUUUGUGCAAGCUCCUGAAAAGGACUUCAUAAGGAUACUUUUUGGAGCUAGCUUCAGCUAUAUGAGGUAUCAAUGCAGGUUCAUCUAUUUCCUGUAAAAUAGGUAACCUAUGAAUAAAGUCUUUCCAGUAAAAUAGGUACCUAUGAAUAAAUUCUUUUGGAGGUUAGUCCACAAUAGUUUCCUACAGCAAGAUAGUGAAAUGGAAAUUUUGUUCAUAACUCUAUUUUGAUUAGUGAUUCAUUGUACUAUAAAAAAUUUUAUUAUCUAGAUUUUCCUUCAACCAAUUAGUCUUCUUUAGUUCAUAGAUUUCAACCUUGACGUUUCAAUAGCCUGUUUGAUACCUAUCAGUUCUCAGCUCAGACCAAUUGAGAAAUUAAGUUUCAACGUGCUUUAAAACAAUUUGAUUUCGAAUCAAAAAAUUCAAUUCACAUGAAUUCCAUGCGAAACAUUAACAAAAUCCAUAACAUAUGGUGUUCAGAAGGUGGGCAGGGGGAGAACUUAAAAUGAAGAUGCUACAUUUCUAUUUCUAGAUGACAUAUAGAGAACAACCCCAAAAAUUCACCAAACAAACAAAAUGAUCAACACAACCAUUGAAAAUAGUAAAAACACUUGGAACUAAAGGUAAUAAAAAUAGUCCAGGUGACCACAGUGUCAAACCUUGAGAAUGUUUAUCCUCUCUCCUAAAGCAAAAACAGCGGAUCGAUUCUUCAGGGGUUCCCUUCCUCUGGAGAACAGACUACUGCUUCUUGCCUCAACACCAAUUAGGUCACUCGAUGUUGCUAUAUCCAGCUGUAAUUUCUCCAGUGCUUGAAUAUAAGCCCGGAAAUGUGCACUUAGAACCUUCAAAAGAAGAAAGUAGAAUAUGAAGAAUUAAAUAAGUGGCAUUUGUUUGGAACUUAAGGGUGCAGUCCCAAUAUAUUAUUUGAACAAACAACUACUAAUGAAAGUACAAAUACAUAAAAAAUGAUGGCAAACAAGUAGCAGCAAGAUGAAAGAUGGAAUGCACAUUUAGCUUAGAAUCAAAGAUAAAAGAAUGGUAAGUAUUGAUGAUGAAAUGUAACAUCAGCUUUGGCGAGGCAGUAGGUAUAUAGUACAGCUGCCCAAAAUAUAAAACUCAUCUAUACUGAUUGACACAGAACUAGGCUAACCCCAUAUGCAGUUUCUCUACUUCCAUGUUUUCAUGAUGGUGAAGAAUAUAAGACAGACCACAAUUGAGUAGCUUGAUUCACGUUUUAGCCCAAGCCAGACCUAGCAAAUAAUCAAAAGGUUGAGCCUUAUGAAUUAAAUCUGUUGGUAAAGGAUCAAGGACAUUUCUUCGAUGUGAAAUUCUAAAAGUUUUGACAUUUUAAAACCCCUUCCUUUGCUGCCAGAGGGUGGGGGAGAUUUGGUUGUUGAUAUAGUGUCAAGCAAAUUAGGCGUAUCCAACCUUCCACACAUGAUACAACCUGAUAUAAGGCAAAACUAAAAAUUCAAGCAUGUCACUAUUGUGGAUAAUAUAGCACUAAAUUCAACAAAAGGGCAGAGGGCAACCACUAGAUUAUCUGUCAGCAAGCCCAUCUACCACUUCAAGCAGCCAUGUAGAUUCGUAAGCUCGUUCUAUAGACAUGGUGAACCUAAAUAAUAUAAAACAAUCGAACAUCAAAUGAAUUAAAGCUUAAUGCUAACAAUGACAAGCAACACCUCUGCUUCACUAUAAGAUUUGAUAAAGUGGAUCUUGUCUUCAAUGGUGCAAUUUGCCCCUUCUUGGUCAAACAAUAGGCUUGCGAAAUCCAACAAAUGCAGUACCGAACUUCAAGCCAGAGUGGUACAUAAUUCCCAUUCCAAACUACAAUGACAAUCAUUUUGAUGGUAUUUGCGCCACUGGAUUAACUGAUUAACCACAGGGACAUCACCUUUCCACAUGGAUUACCAGGUUAUGAAAGUACCAUAAAGUCAAAGAGGUAAACAGCGAAUAUUUAACAUAGCUUGUCUCUUUUGUUAUAUGUUACCAAAGUAGUAAUACCAAAUAAGUUUGAGUAACAUAGUAGUAGUACUUGUACAGAUAACUUUUGCAGCACUUUAACAAAAAAGAGAUGGACCCCAUGGUACACUAAUGCUGAGAAGAAAAGGCAAAAAGCAUUGAAGAACUUCAGUUUAGAUCUUCCCCUUUAUCACAAAAACCAAAACCAGCUAUCUCUUACAGUCCACAGGAAACCAUAGGUUUCACACAACAAAUCCCCUAGCUGUCUGCCAUACUGCAAAGACAUUGCAUAACUAGCAUGUAUUACAGCUCAACUAGGUAUCAAGUCACCACUUGCAUUUCCUGCUCAACAGAAGGAGAAACUCUGCAAUAAAAGGAAUUCCAAGUCUGGUGGGAGCUUUUGUCCUUGAGACGUUCUAUCAUGCACCUAGCAUAACAGGUCCAACAUCAGGAAAUGUGUUUGACAUGGUUCUGUACUUUUAGCUAAUGAUUCCAUGUUGCUCUCUGUAUAGCUCAGGCCUACACCAUAGUCUACUUUGCACACAAAAUCCUUUCUUCCAAGGAGUUAUUCUGAUGAGAAACUGUCAAGUAUUACCUACUCUGCCAUAUUGUAACUAUCAGUUUAAUCCAGAGUCACCCACCCCUCCAAUCUUGUAAGUACAGAUUAUAAAAAUUAAAGCUCUCCACCAGAUAAGAUUAAAUGCUUGCACCAAGGUCAUUCAAAAGCUGGGCUCAGAAGCAUGAAAUUUUCCCCAAGAAAUCCAUUGAAUGUCAAAUAGAACACUUGCACUCGCUAUUUCCUCGAAUCUCUAAAUUUCUCCACCUAGAUAAUCUUGUUUCAAAAGCCAAUAACUCUGCAACUAUUAAUCUUUUGAUGGAGGCAUCACCAACAAAUAAACUGUCUAAUCUAUAUAUCUUCUGUAUAAGCUCUUUUGAAGUUAAAUACACCAUCACCAUCAAGAGAAUUAAAAUGCAAAAGUUCAUAGAGAUAGAAACACAAAAUUUAUUCAUGGGCAAAAAAUAGAGUAAAUUCAGAGUAUGCAAAGUUGCAGGACUAUACCUAGUUUAGUGCUGUGCAGUUACGGAAUAUGCAAAAAUGACAUGUAUUUGAAAAAUUAACUCACAAAUAUGCCUCGGUUUGGUUACCAGGUAUCAAAGCCCCAACCCAAACCCUUUCAGUCAGCAACUACCGACAAAAACUGCUCCCACAAUCAGAAGGGGGUACAAUUAAGUGGCUGGUAAUUGUCACUGCUCUAAUAGCAUCUACCUAUUUUGGUUUCUACCUCUUAUAUUUGAAAUCAUAUCCUUGAAUAUUCCUUCUAUCACUAUUCCCCAAAACCCUACUUCUAACCUUUUCCAUCAUAAUUCAUAUCUAUCAGUUUAAUUCCUUUAUGCCAUUUGAUUAUGGAGCUAAAGCAUUCACAGCAUAAUUGAAUAGUUUUUGAUAACUAAAUUCUCAAAUCAUUGAUAACGCUCCUUGACUAGCCUAAAGGCAAUUACCUUGUUCAUUGUGUCAAUAUAUGCUGCACGAAUUUCCACAUAUAUCUCCUUUCCAUGUUCCUUGAGAAAGGAAAUAAUAUACCUGCAUGUUCAACAGAAUAUUUCAGAUCUUGCAUUGGAUCCAUUAUGGUAUUUAAAGAAAAAGAGUAAUAAAAUUAAGUUUGAAGACCAAAUAUAUAAGUCUAAUACUGUAUAAACCAACUUAUAUCUUCCGUUCUUCAAUAUGACAAGGAUCAGACACAUUAGAAUUCUGCGGAGCCCCAAAACUAAGAACUUAUAAAGGCAAGAAAGAUUCUGAAGCAGGUAACAGGUUGUUAAAAAUAAAUACUAAAUUCAAUGGUGUAAAAGAUCCAUAACCACAAGCUCCAAGAAUGAAGAGUAGGAGUCUUCAGUUAUGACAUAUUAACGAAAAGCCUAACUCUAGCUCCCAAGAUCUUUGAGAUACUUAUACAGCCUUUUUGCCCCUAUUUCUUGGCUAAUGGAAAUGUGCCUCACAUGCGAAAGGAGAAGGAAAACAGCUUUUGGCUUUCCUCCUUAUUUAAUAAACAAAGGCACAAGCGGCUAGUUUUGAGCAACCAAGAACAAGUCGUAAAUAACUAAAGCUCAUCAAAAGUGGAAAGGUUGCUGAUUUUCUCUCUCAGAGUAGAUAUGCACAAGGAGGACCAAGUAACUUUCUGACAAUUUUUAUUUUGCAGACAAAAAAGUCAAAAGUAUUGAUUUUACCAUCACUUUUGGCAACAAAUCUUCUUUAUCAAUUUUAUUUAAUAAGAAACUCAAAUUACCCCAGAAUACAUCUUCUGCCAUGAUAGUAGACUUAUAUCACAUAUUAGUCAUUAUAAAUGCAAACUACAAUAAUGCUCUUCAGGAUUCCAUUUAUCAAUAUCAAUUCUAAACCUUUCCCACUUAGAAUCUAAAUUCAAUACUUCAGGAUUAUUUUGCUCGUUAAAAGGGCUUACACAUACAGUAUGCAUACAAUUAUAAUACGACUCCAAUAUCUCCUUUUUCUUUUUAUCCAAAGCCUGUCUUUUAGUCUUAUAUAAACUAUCUGGUACUUAGAAUCUGACAUCUGAGAAAGGCCUUUAAUCGAAAUUGGUCUCAUAUAAUGAGACUCUUUAUAAGCCCUUACGUUCAUAUUUAACUUCUCCACUUCUUGAUUUAAGUCCAUCAAAUUAUUAUAUAUAAACAUAUCCAUGAUAUGAAAAGGAUUGACCAGAUUCUCUAAAAAGAGAGAGCUAUGGAAGAAUGGGUUAUAUUUUGCUAAAAUGGCUGUAGUAAUGAAAUUAUUGCGAACAGUGCAAGUCUCUGAAAGUCUGCACGUGUGUAAGAGAGUGAUUCCGGGUGUGUUUUGAGGUAGAGUGACAGGGAGACAUAAACGAAUUAUAUCCACCUAUGAAGGAAUUAUAUUCAAAAAAUGAACAGAUGCAGACUGUUCAAGUCAUUGAUAAUAUAAAAUUAAGUUAAGCAUUCCAAGAAGAGAGAAUUAAAUGAAUUAAAAAAGGAUAUAAGCAAGACCAUAACAAUGAAUGGUUGUUGAGUAAGUUAACCUGAAGUAAUCAUAAUAAGAAUCUUUAAAUUGACUAUAUGAGAAGCAGUAUAAUAUGACAGAGAUGCAACUUACUUGUAUUUCAAAAGAACACUCUGUUGAAGAAUCUGGAUAUUAGUUUUUGGUUUCCGCAAUGCAUAUAGCUUUUGAACCAUGAAGUCAAAAACCUAUAUGAAGAGGGAAAAUGAUUUAUCAUUACAUGACUAACUUCAUAGAUUCCAAGAAACAUUGAAUAGAACUUAGAUCGAUAAAUUUCACAAACAAAUUAUUAACCUCCUGUGAUGAACAAUUCAGACUGAUAAAACAUGUAUUUCAUUCUUACAGGAUAGACUCAAGAGUCAACAAGCAUCUAAAUAAUUUGCCAUAGCAUGUUGAAACGUGCAUCUUACCUUUGAAACUGCUUUCUGCCGAAGCCUCUCUAAUUCAGGUUGAACAUCUUUUAAUGCUUUCGAAGUUUUAACCAUAGGAUCCACCUUAACAAAGUCCAGCUUUUUGCUCAAAAUCUCUAGAGUCCUCAAAUACUCAUCAUUAACCUGUGUGCAAGUAUAAAGACAAUUUACUGACCAUGAAAUAUGAGAAGUCAAAAGCAAAGAUGCAUAGUGGCCUGGCAAGCCCAUCAACACAUUUUAAGGGAUUGGGAUAGCAGGGACUGGAAUGCCAACAACAUCUCAAACAGACAACUAUGGACAAGCAACCAAAAGGGGGGAGGGGACAAACUCAAGCAAGAUCAAUUCAAAGCCAGUCCAAAGAGUAUAUGAGACAAAUAGCAAGUGGAAGCCAACUCAGCCAGUUUAGUAACUGGGCAAAUUGCAAUACAAUUUACUAAUCAUUGUAUUUGUCGAGGUACUUUUCAGCAAGCAAACACAACAAUUCUUUAUUCUACCUGUCAAUAACCUUUUAAUUCCAAUUCUUCUCAUUACUUGGUAGUUGCCCUAUAAUGCCAGCUCUUAUGCUUUCUGUGUUGCCUAGUCUUUCAAUGAAGGAGAAGAGUAUGGUGUGCGUAAUUUAAUGAAAUCUCUCCAUGCAAUUUCUGCAUAUUGAAUUUCGGUGGAACAAGCAUCAUUGCGGGGUUUGUUAUCCUGCGAAUAUUUUUUCAAAAAGGCAUUUGAUACUCAACUGAUGUCUUUUUUCCUUGAUACUCCAGCAUCUUCCAUAUGAUUUAUAGGCCUCAGAAAGACCUCAAACUGAGUUUAAUGCUAACUCAAAACAACUUAAAAAAAAAUUUAGCCUGUUUUUAACAUGAGCAUGCAAUUAGCAGAAACAGAAAAGGCUAAGUACUAUGAAAUGAAAUAUGAACUGGUCAACGAGAUAAUGUGUUAAUUAAACAUUCAGAUCUUAUGAUGGCAAUAAAAGGCCAAAGGAAUCAAUCAACAGAGACAUUUGGCAUCACUCACAAAAUUCUAAACCCUAAAUGUGAAUGGAAACCAUAUUAUCCACAAGAAAGGUUUAGAGUCAUAUGACAAGUUCCAAAGUGCAAAUUAGAAUGUAGCCAUGCUUAACCUACUUGCGUAUCUGCGGAGGUAUAUAUUCUAGUAUGUCUAUCAGUAUCUCAUCCCAACAUUAUCUGCAACUUGAAGCUAUUUUCAGUUCUCAAUUUCGCGCCUAACUUUCCCCUUUUCUAAUCAAAUGAAAAAGAAAGUUAUUUCUGAAAAGGACAUUUGAUGUGCAUUUUAAUUACAUCUUUUGCUUGUCAAACAGUUUUUGCUACGUCUUUACCAUUGUAAAAGAUCAUUUUUAAGACUGACUAUUCUCGGAUGCUUUACAAAGCUAAGGUAUUUGUAACAGCCCCACUUUAGGAUUUACCCAACUGUUUUCUCUUGUAACCUUUGCAACUCAUUAGAUGUACAAGAGACAGAAAGCUAAUCAAUCAGUAGUAUCAACUUGAAGUUAAGGGACAAUAAGAUAGUCAAUAGACAACAGUCAUAACACUAUGAAAGAGAGACUAAAAAUGUACUUGUGUCAAAUAAGCUGCCAAACUGAAGGAGGUAAAGGAUAAAACUGGAAAUGGGUAAUAAAAAACAGAAUUCAGAAUACCUCUCCAUCAACAAUUAUGUCUAUCAUCCUUGGUGGCACAAUAAUAUCUUCAACAAAUUUUGCCAACUUUGAUUCCGCAACCUGUCAAAGAACAUAAGCAGUUAUAAAAGGCAGAAAAAUGCCACCGAGCCUUUUGUGCUAGAUACUGACUAGAGAGUUUACAAUUACAAGAGUACUCCACCCAAUAGGAACAAAGUAAAAUUCAUACCUUGCGAUUUUUCAGCUUCAACCCCAUAUCCAUGGACUUCUCUUGAAGAAUUUUUAUAUCUGAACUUAUAGAACCUAUCUCAGCCUAUGGCAAAAGUUACGAGAAGUAUAAUAAGAACAUCGGACGACAUCCAGAAUAAAAAACUGAAAGAUAAACAAUAGCAAAGAGAAAGGAUCUGCAGAAACCGAUUAGACACAUGUACAGCCAAAAUGCACUUUCUGACAUUCUAACAGCAAAACAUUCAAAGACCCAAACAAAGUAGAUAGUUGAUGCAGGCAGGAGCACGAGAAAAAGAAAAGUCACUUUAAUCCAUGAUACAGGUUUGGUUUUUAGGAUAAACCAACAGAAAACCUUGAUUAUGGGGCUAAUUCAGCACCCAACCUUAAUAGUUUACCUGAAGAACCAAGAAGAAAUGAUACACUUUCAUUAGAUGUCAAAAUCUGAAUUACACAUGCAAAACCUGAACCCUGUCCUUAUCACUCUAAUUCUCACCAUCUUAAUCUCAUUCUUCCCUGUCCUUAUCUUUCCAAUCUGAUAGGAGUUAACCUUAACCUACUAAUAUUAAGAAAUUUAUCCUGCACGAGUAAUGCUCUGACAUAAAAAUUCAUCCCAGUUCAGUUACUUCUGUACAAACAGAUCAAAGUGGAAAGUAUGAGGAAUUCCACAAGCACAAAUCUUGAUAACAAGAACUGCCAGAAUUCAAACUGUGAUCUUCUUAAUCUUUGGAUUCCACGAAAUAUAAAGUAUUAGACUGGGAAUUGCUUGCUAUUCUGCCUUCUCAACUAACUCAGCCCCUAGUUUAAUUCUCUACAGUAACAUGUGUAGCUCCUCCUAGUUGUCAAGUAAGGCAUGACUCUUGGCAUUUGUACCUAUUUCAGCUCAAUCACUACUAGAUGGUACAAAAGCACAAAGCAUUCAGUUUAACUUGCUGCAGUCAAAGCACAUUGGGUUAAACGCACAAGAGGUAACAAUGGAGGUUAUCAUCUGUAAAUCAACCUAAAAAGAGACAUAAAAAUUAUAAAUGGAACAGCCUUCUCUCUCCAUUGAUGCAAUAUACAGACAUAAACUAGGGCCAUGAUUGCUUGAUGGAAUUAAAAACAGCAGUAAAAUUAGAAAAGUAUAAAUGAGUCCAUGCUUUAGAAGUUUCCAAUUCCAUUGACGACGAAAGUUCAAAAUGAAUGGUAUCUUGAUUUCAUCAAUAUGAAAAAUUGAGCAACAAUGAUGGAAUGCAGUACCUGGAAUCCACUAAGUAGGGUCUCCAUUUGUGAGAGUAUAAUGUCACAAUCACGUAUUUGAUCAUGAAGGGAGACCAAGUUGUCACUUUCCUUAAUGUAAUCCUAAAGGGACACAAGGGAUAGCUAUCAUGUUAGAGAAAAUAAAGUAAAAUCUUUACCAGACAUAUAUAGCAUGACAAUGUCAAUAGCCUGUCAACCAUGAACAGAAACAACACUCUUAAGACAUUUCCCCAUGAGUACAAAGUUCUAAAAUUCACAAGGCGAGCUUUUGGACUGCCUAAAGGAUAAGCAGCUUGACAACAUGAAAGUCUCGCUACAAGCAUGCUCUAGCUUACAAGAAAUUGCAGACAUAUAAUCCAACAAUAGACAAAUUUGGAAGGAGGAGAAGUAUAGUGAGACCAACCCACCUCAAUGGAUUCCAAUUCAACUUGGCGUACAUUGCUCUCAACACCCUUUGUGUACUCUCGAAGCUUUGUUCCCUUAGACAAGAUGUUUGCCACUACCUUUCAAAGAGCACAGCAGAAAACAUAAGGCAAGAGGCGAAAAUGUUGUAUGCAAGAAAAACAACAUACAGACAACAAGGAAAAGUAGACAGCUUUUCAUUACUUGAAAAUGGGAAAUGAAGAAAGUGAAAAAAAAAAAAACAAAACAAAAGAAAAGGACAUACUUGAUCAUGCUUGCAUUCUUGAAGCUCUUGCUCUAGCCCUUCAAGUGAUAUAUCCUCACUAUCAAAAAAAAAAAACCAUUAUAUAUCCCAAAAAAGAAUCAGCAGAAUAGGUGCGGGAGGAGAAGAAUAGAAACCCACAGUGGAACACUAAUCCUACUAACUUGAGAUCUUAAAUAUAUCAAAUCUCAAAGAAAUUGGAUAGUGAAUCGAUGAGGAUGAAGAAGAAGCCCAAGCCUCCCAAGCAAGAAGUCUAACCCCCUUUUUAUUUAUUUUAGAUUAAAAAAAAAGAUAAUUGAUAAUCCAAGACAUCAGACUGAUGAAGAAACAGACCAAUUAGAUCCCAAACCCAAUCAUUCGAAGAAAAUUUGAAUCAAAUUCAUUUUCAUCAAACUAAUAGUAGGAGAUAAAAGCUUUUUUUCAACUCGCAAAACAACAAUAACCAUGAUAUAUCAACUAAAUAUUCAUUCUGAUCAACACAAAAAAAAAUAAGUUUUUUUUCUUUUUACGGUUCGAUAAAUCUAACUACCCACAAACAAAUGCACAAAAAAUGCAAAAAAGGAGAAGUAAAUCGAAUAUGUUUCUGGACGGAAUGGAGGAAGAAAUUUCCAAACCUGGCAUCAUCAUCGUCGCCACCUCCGCCAGUCAAGUCCCCCACAUAUGAUUCCAAAUCCGAAACAACUGGAUGAAUCAUCUUCUGGCCCCCAUUUUCAUGCUCAUCAUCAUCAUUAUUGUUUCCCUUCGCGAAUUGUAAUUUGUUAGAAUCAACCUCGGCGGCCGCGGCGGCUGCAGAAGCAGAAGAAGCCAUCCCCAACUCAAAGAUAAAUAUCAGAUCGCUACAACUGAUUGAUGCAACGGAGGAGUAGUAGGCUACUAGUAGUACACAUUACACAAGUAACAACACGACAACAAAGCUGUGUUUGGAAUGAAUUUAAUACGCCAGAUCCAUGACACCGAUUAAUAGGAGUUUUCUCCAGGGAGGGAGGACGUUGUUAGUUACCAUUUACCGAGCAAGGUACAAGUUUUUCAGGGUCAUGUACACCAUUUCACUGCCACCGAGUUCCGGAAUACUCCUAUUACUGAAAUGAAAAUAGCCUCCAAGCUGGGACUGGCGGUCUGUCUAAGGUUCCAGGUUAUCGUUGCUGGCGCUUUUGGGGCGACCUCUGCUCAGUCGUCUGGGUGAUUCCAAGAUACCCUUUUAAAUUGAAAAAAAAAAAAAAAAAAAAAACCUCCAGCAGUACAGAAUAGCAAGUACCUGACGACGGACUUCUAUUUUGCACCCUUUAACUAGUAAUUGAUUCUUGAGUGGCAUCUUAAACUUCCAAGUUUGAGCACAUUGCAUCCACUCUAAAACUCUCAUAUGUGUCCCAUUUACGUCCGAACGUUACCAAAAAUGGUUUAAACUCAUGUAAUGUAAUCCGUCCCAUUUGAGUCUAAUCUUGACAUAGAAGAAAGAAGUGUGCACACAACUAAAUGAAUUAAGAAAAUAAAAGAAAAUUAUUUUUUUAUGCUUUUAUCAAAUUACCGGAUAAUGCAAAAGGAAGCCAAUGACCCAAAAAAAAGAAAGGAAAAUAUGGGUUUCAACUGGAAUUUAUUGAGGAUGGACAAAUCCAAGUUUAAUCUUACAAGAAAAUUCUUAAGAUAUGCUAAAGACUAAAAAGGCCUCGUUUAGAGUUGCAGUACUUUUAAUUUUUUUUUUAAAAAAAAGAAGCACUUUUAAGUGUUAAAAGUAUUUUUAAGACAUUUGAUGAAAAUCAUUCCAUAAAUUUAAAAGUGAAGCUUUUAGUGUUGAAAGCACUUUUUGACCAAAAAAAAAAAAAAAACUCAAAUUUUAGUGCUUUUAUAGUAAAUUUUGUAAUUUAAAAAAUAAAACAUUAAAUCUAAUCCUUUUAUCCUAUAUUAUAAACUAUACAUUACAUAUUAUUCAAUAUAAUAAGUACUUAUUGAGUUAUGUCUCGAUACGCCACUAAUAGGUAAAAGGGACGAUGAUAUAGCUAAAAUUACAGUUGAAGAACAGAAACUUCCGGUUGGAAAAUUAUAGUAAUAUGCUUUUGGUAUUUAUCAUUUAAUGUGUAUUUAUUCUUAAUGUUUUUUUUUUUGUUAACAAAGUCAAGGAAUGAAUGAGUAAUAUUGCGAUUUCCCAGCGACAGAAUAUGGAGAUCUCCAUACUUCCUUUAGCUUUGCUUACAAUACUAACGCUUGGACUCGAAUAGCUAGGAUAGAUUUGUAAAACUUGUGAGAAUGGAAUACAUUGAAAUUUAAGAUUGGAUUUAAAUCAGGCAGAUCUUAAAAUUUAAGGUGCAAUACAUUGAAAUUUAAGAUCCGAAGUGAGAAUUGAAUAAAAGUUAAAAGAGUAAGACUUGUUCAACGACAAAAUUAAAGAGUUAAAACUCUGGGCUAGCUAGCUGAAUUCGGGUUCUAGUUUGAAAUGAUCGAUGAUCGAACGGUAGCCUCCAACUUGAGAUUGAUUGCCGGCGGCCAUGGAUGAAUGCAAGGAAGGAAUUAAUGAUGGGAAUGAGAGUAGCAGCGGGCCGGGCAAUUUAGAAAUCGGCAUCAACAAUAUUACUCCAAACAGCCCCGUCUCCUUCGCCGCAAGCGCUGUGCACAGCUUUCAUCCUCUGCACUGAGUUGCAUAUCCCGCUGCAUGACCAAUCAAAUGACGCAAUGCAUGUCUUCCCUCCUUCCCUUUUCCACUCACAGUCUGCCCCCCACAAAAAAUUAAAUUAAAUUAAGUCCUACCAAUAAUAUAAAUAAAUAUAGUACUUAUAUAUAGCAUUGCACAUUCAUUAAUUAUUGUUACGUACCAGGAGGGGUUCCACAACACAUGGAGCGAUCGUCCACGUGUUGCACUUCCAAGCCAAUGAACCACGACCCCAGCGACACGUCCUCAUUAGCAUACCGAUGCAAGAUCCCCCUACACCAUACCAUGCAUGCAUAUAUAAUAGGAGGAGUACCGAUCGAGCACACGUACAUAUAUUUGCAGAUGGAAUCAUCCAUCAGCAAAUCAGCAUCUUAGUUAACUUUGUGAUCAUAUAUAUAUAUGUAUGUAUGUAUGUAUAGGCAAGCAUGUGCAUAUAUAUUUGAUAAUUAAACCAAUCAGUAUCUUACGAGUUGAUGGAGAUAUAGGUGGCAAGGUCCUUAGAGAUGGCAUAUAUUUGACCGGUGGCAUGCCUAAAGUACUUGUUGCCUUCUUCCCCAAAUUUCCAGAACUCUGGCUCGUAAUACUUGACUCCCCUGCCAUGCCAUGAUUAAUUUCAAGGGAAAACCAGCAACCCAUUAUAAGUAAGUACUGUUAAGCAAGACUAGUACGUACUGACUCAAGAAUAUAUAUAUAUAUGGUGCAUGGUGCUGCAUAUAGAUGUGUAUGUACAUGUAAUAUUUGAAGUAUUACACAAAAAAAAAAACACUAGCUACUAGGUAGAAACAAAUGUUACUCGUGAAUUCUACUCACUUCUGAGAGAGAACAGGUCCAGACUUCAUGCACCCAAUAUAGGUCCUGGGUUGUGAUUUGUAGCGGGCAAGAGUGUUUACAAGCAUACCUACAACAUAUAUAUAUAUAUAUACAUGACCAGUGCAAAUUAGGCUAAUUAUAUGAUGUGAUUAUUAAUUUGCAGCUGUAUGUAUAAUUGGUACGUAACUAAGAAGCAGCAGAGAGGAGCAGUACGUACCCAAAUUGACAUGGACAUCAUCGUCCACCUUGACAUAGAAGUGGGCAUCCCAAAUUGAGACUGCAGUGGAGAAGUAGAGUCGAGUUUUGGAGGAGAGUUGGUGGUAUCCUUCAACGUGAUCCAGUCUGAGGAUGUCCCCGUACUCCGCAUCCUCAGCAUCAAUGGCUCGAUCCAGAACUCCUCCCGGUGUUGCACUGUGCCCUAUCACAAAUCGGAUCACUAUUCCUUUCUCCUUCUCCAAUUUCUUCAACAUAUUUCCUAUACAUGAUCAUUAUAUAGAGUGGAUUAGUAGCACAUAAACAUGAUCAUCAUUCUUUAUAAAAAUCAGAGGGAGGUAUAGGUAAUGCACUUUUUUUUUUUUUUUUUGGGUAGGUAACAUUUUAUUAAUACCCAAGAAAGAUACAAAAUAUAGGUACCGCACCUGGCGUCUCUUAUAAAUAAAGAUUGUUAGUAUUAAUUAACCUACCUUUGAGCAGCCAAGUCUCUCUGAGGGAUUCACGCCGUCUCUUGCUGCUGAAAGCUGUAUUAAUUCCAAUAACAACAAAGGCCUUCUUCUGCAGCAGGCUACUAGUACUGGAGGUGGAAUUUGAGGAGUUUUUGCGUAGAUCAUGAUCAAGUGAGGAGUAGUACUGCUGCUGCUGGGUUUUCCGACUACUCCUAGUCCGAGCUGCUGACAAUUCCAUCUCCAAUGUUGAUAUCGUUUUGUCUAAUGACCUGUUUAAUUAAUUAGAGAUCAUUAACAAACGAAAAAUAAAAUCAUUACGCAUGCAAGCAAGCAGCAAUAUUUUUUGUUAUAUAAGUAUGAUUAAAGGGAAACAUGCAUUGUUGAUCGUGAUCCUAGCAAUUAAGCUGAGGGGACUGCAGGCUUAUAACUCAAACAGCAGAAGAGUGAUUAAAUAGUCAACAAGGAAAAUCAGGCAUCUUGUACUAUACGCUGUCUUACUGGAUCGCUUGAUGUGUCUUUCUCACUUCUUCCAUAACGUCUCCAGAGCCCAUUUCCGUCAAUUUCUUCUGCAGCACAUGGACAAAUAUAUAUAUAUAGGCAAUCAUUAACUAGUUUUAAUUCAUUUUACGUAUGAAGGAAGAGUUUCAAGAAAAUCAUAGCUCAAGUACUUAAAUUGGUACGAAGUUUAAUUACCCGUCUCUGAUGAUCACAUCCAUUUGUAACCAGCUGCUGGGUGCUGAGCUUUUCCACAUAAUGAUGAGUGGUGGGGAUGCUGGAAAUGGCACGACGUCCUAUACUUUGAGUUUUCGGGGCAGGGCGACUAGUAGCUGUGAUCAGGGCGGUGGUAGUGGACGACUUUGUGCCCCGGCUGCUAAAAACAAGUGAUCCUGCCAGGAAGCUGGCAACACAUAGCAGAAGUAUGGCUUUCCCAGAAAGCACUGAUGAUUUCCCAGCCCGCAUUCUCUUAAUUUAUUAACUUUUUUUGAAAAGGAAGGAGAGGGGGGCGGGGGGGAGGUCAAGUUGCCAGGCUCGUGGCCCUGAGUUCAACAACAAAUGCCACCGCAAUCCAACAACGGUCGGCCUCUUUUCUGUCAGCACUCAGCAGCAGCUUUACCUCAUGUGUUGUGGUGGGCUGUAGCUGCCGAGCGCUUUGUUGCCGAAGUUCUUGAACAUGCAUGGACCAAAACGCAGAUGUCUGGAUGGACGAAGAUGCAGUGGAUGGACUUGGGAAAGCGGAAAAAAUUGAUAAUAAUGAUUAUCAAUAUAUAUAUAUAUAUAAGAAAUGGUCGGAGCUUGAAUAGUUGUAUGGAAGAGAUAUGUAGCUAGAGACGUAGGUAGGUAGCUAGCUAGUGUACCCAUUUGGCUUGGAAGCUAAUCGAUAUAUAUUGAGGGUUAAUUGGUGUAUGUGCUGUUCCAUCAUGCAUGGGAAGCAGCCAGUAGCUGGAGAGGGAGCGGGGGAAAAGGGACUAAUUAUGGGAGGGCAGUUUAAUCAUGUGAUUUUCAUGUUUCAACAAACCCACUCAUAUCCUAGCUUCUGCCAAUACUUCUCCCCAGAUUGCCCGUCUAAUAUGGAGAACACAACUCAAGUGUCCCACCACAUAUAUGUGUGUGUGUGAGAGAGCAUAACCACUCCAAUAUCCCAUCAGAUGCGAAUGCUAGUUUUUUUUUUCUUUUUUUUUUUUGUAUUAAUAUAUGUGAAUGCAAGUUAACACAAUAAUAUUCCUAGGUCGAAUCAAAUUCAGAUGUAUAAAGGAAUAUAUAUAUAUAGCCCAAAUACGGGUUAUAUUAUAAGUUUGAAUACGGAUCCUCUCAUGAUUUUCUGUUAUAUGUUGGAUCAUGUCCUUUGCGUACUGUUGUAGUAUCACCAGUUAAUGUGGACCUCAGCGCAGCGCGCGAGGUUGCCUGGGUUUGGUGAUAUAUGUGUUUUUUGAGCUGUGAACGCGUCUGUUAAUUGGUUUAAGUAGAACCUUGUGGGAACCAAGAGCACAAACUAGCUUACUUGUAAAUCCAAAAGCUGCAGUCAUAGCUAACAAUUGACAUAAGUAUAUCUACAUUGAUGGCAAAGAGUAUUUACAUAUAGGUACGUAGGUAACAAUUUUCAUGUUUUUCUAAAUUAUGUUUUUGUUUUCUUAAUUUAGUCAAAGUAAUAAUUUUCUUGAAAUUGCAAAUACUAAUUUGUAUUUUAUAAAUGAUUUUAAUGUUAUCAUUUCGGCCAUGUUAUAUUGAUAGAUUACUCAAUCAUGUCAACAAAGAGCCACGAUAGCACAGAGGAGCAAAAGCAUAAAGCUUCAUCCCUCAAUCCUCGAAGUCCAACUCCAACCCAUAAUACCUCUGUUGAUGAGACUAGAGAAGGUUCAAAUAAGCGAGAACCAUACAAACUAAGGUCAAAGGUAUAGUCUCAUUUUGCUUUAGAAUAGAUGACUGGUAUCAAGCAAGGGCAAUUACUAUAAAAAAAAAAAAAAUAAUUGCUGCUAAUCCUAAGUGUCAUGCAUGGUACAACUCCCUUACUCAAUCAAUUAUCUAAGUAUAAUCAGAAUCCCAACAACAAACCUAGUGGUCAAGCUACUUUGUAUAUAGGGUUGAUUGAUGAUGGGGGAGAGACCAAAGGGAGUCUAAUUAUUUGGAAAUUUGAUCAGUCUAUUAGCUAGGAAAAGUAUUGCAUACACGUUGAUCAGUGAAAAGAAAGGAUUUCAACAUGUUAUGCGUACUACCUAUCCUUCAUUUGGGAUUCCCUCUAGCUGGACUAUUUCUAGAGAUUGUUAUCAACUCUAUUUAGAUAAGAAGGCAAAGUUAAAAAGUUUUCUUAAAAGUAUAUCUAGCUCACAACUGAUUCUUAGACCUGUAUACAGAGAAAUAAUUAUAUGUGUUUGAUUGCACAUAUUAUUAAUAAUGACUAGAAAUUGGACAAGAAAAUAAUAAACUUUUGUCCAAUUACUAGUCAUAAAGAAACUGAAGUUGGAAAGGCUGUUGAAAAAUGCUUGCUUGAAUGAGAGAUUGAUGAUGUUUUUAGUGUUCCUAUAGACAAUGCUAGCUCUAAUGAUCUUGUUGUUCAAUACAGUUACAGUCUAGGUUAAAAAAUUCAAUGAAUGUGCUAAAAUUGAAAAAAUUAAAGUGUAAGAAACUGUUAAACCUAGAUGUUGCUACUAGGUGGAACUCAACAUAUCUCAUGUUAGACAUGCACUGCCCAAAGAUUUGAGAGAACCUUGAAUGGUUUGAGGAGCAGGAUCCCUAUAUGGUUCAGGAGCUACAAUUAUUACCAACAAAGUCAAAUUGAAAGAAGGCUAGAUUCCUAAUUUUUAUGAUCUAACUAUCAAAUUUCCCACUAUGGAAAUGAACACUUAGGUAAACAAUGAAUAACCUAAAAAAAAUAACAUGUUGCCAAGAAUGUCAGUUGGACCAGAUUUUGAAGAUUCAAAUAGAUAUGAUGCCUUUCAUCAUAUCAAAGUUAUGAAAUAUAUACGAUCUAAUUGUAAAAAUUUUUGGGACCAAAUAUGUGACUUCUACUAAAUUUUUUAAUGAUACCGGUCACAUAAAUGUAAUCUUGAAGAAGAUGAAAAUGUUGAAUUGAAUGUAGUGGCAAAAUCUAUGAAGGAUAAUAUGACAAAUAUUGAGGGAGAAUUGAAAAGAUGAACAUUUUGAUUUUUAUUGCUGCUACGCUUGAUCCUAGUACUUGUUUUUAUGAAAAUGUAUGGGGAUACUAACAGUAAGGUUGUGGCUAGGAAGGCAAAAGAUGUCAUGUUUGAUUUGUUCCAUAAAUUAAUACAAGAGGAUGAACUUUCCUUUGCCAGUUAAUACCUCUUAUUUCUCAUAUUCUUCAAUUCACUUUCUAGUGAGUCUGUGGUCAAUGUUUAGUUACUGUGGGUGCUACAAAAAAAUAAAAAAUAAAAAAUUCAAUGACAGGUACAAAAUGGAGUUUAAGAAAAGGAAAAUUGAACUUUGAGGUAGGGACAACAAAUUUUAGUUGGAUAAGUUCAUAAAUGAGGAUUAUGAAUUGGAUGAUGUUGAUAAAUUUGAUAUUAAUUUUGGCAUGAUGGAAGGCUAAUAGUAUCAAAUUUCCAAUCCUUUUAAAAAAUAGUUUAUGAUGUAUUGGCUGUUCCUGUCUCUACUAUUGCUUCUGAAUUUGCAUUUAAUAUCGAAGGACAUGUUCUUGAUAGUUUCAGAAGUUCUUCUUCAACUCUAAGGACUGUUCAACCUCUUAAUUAUAUGCUCUCAAGGAGAUCCUCAAUCUUAGCACUGAAUUGCCGAUUUCAUAUCCGAUUCUCACUCCUGGAAGCUGCUCUUGCCUACACCCUUAUGUCUACACCUCUAAUUCAUUCUCUCUUUUUUUUUUUUAAAAAAAAAAAAAAGGAAGAAGAAGAACCCACAGACGUGUGAUGCUACAGUAAGAAACUUAGGACAAGAAAUAUCCAUCUGUCAUGUACAGAAACAUGUUCACGUUUGUAGUGGAUCAUAUGUCCUUUAAGCUCUCCGAUAGACAAAUAAAGGGAUAGUUGUAUGUAUGGUACUUGAGGAGCAUGAAAAGGGUAGAGUUAUAUGCAUGAAAAGGGUGUAUAUGGAAAUGAGCUGAAAGAUGUUGUGACCAUGAAUACAAACGUAAACAAGAUGCAAGGAAGAAGAGAGAAUGCGUAGAAUGGAAUCAAGCAAAUUAAUCUGCGCCCCGCACAUGUGCAAAGCCCAAGCCAUGGCGACUGCGUCUCCAUUGAUCGAACUGGCCGGAGACUUCACAAACCCUCUCUACUCUACACCAGUAUUAUAUAUGUGCUUUUUGGUAUUAAAUUAUAAACUGAAUAUAAAUCCUCCGGAACUACUAGUAGUGUAUAUAUUAUAUACAUUAGUGUUGGAUUUCAAAUAAUAUCGGCCGUCCAAAAUCCAAAUGGAGGUUGAGAGAAUCUCGAGGAGUACUUGUAGCUGUUCAAAGGAAGGAUAGCAUUGCUUCGGGAGCAAUCAAAUAUCCCCUAAUCGGACAAUCAUAUUCUGGAUCCCGUACGUAUUUUCAAUCUCGGGAUCGCCUAACAACUAUUUUUUUUUUCCCAAGAAAAUGCUUUUGAAUCAUAACCAAGCCGAAAACAAUGAUGAAUACCAGACGCGAGGUUAAGGCAAGUGCAUUCUACUAACUUGAUGGAUGAAGUGAAGAGAGCGUGUGGCAAUGGAAAAGGGAUCGUAUGCGCGUCCAAUGAAGUAGUAGCUAGCAUGAGGAGGAGGAGGAGGAGAGAUGCAUGGAUGAGGAAAUGCAUGAGUUGUCGCUGGGGCACAUUGCAUGGCGUUUCCCUUUAGUCGCCGUCUCGGUCAUUCCUAUGACUUGGCUUGUACGUUAGCUUUUAGCAAUCCCGGCGGCGGCGUCACCGGCCGUCAACUUUCUCACAAUAUCACACACACACGCCCCUCGUAGCUAGCUAGGUAAUUGAGACUUAAUUUGAGAGGGUUGACAAAUUGAAAAAACCACAGCAGGCAAUUGCACAUAUAUAAAUGUAUGUGGAGCGUUAAUUUUGACAGCACGCAUACGCAUACGCAUGCGCAUGUACAUGUAGAGAGAGAGAGAGAGGCUCGCUGGCUUCAUAGAUUUUGAGGCCUUCAUUGCCACCUUCAAUCUGCAUGCUGCUCUAGCUUCUUAAUUUGGUGUGUAUAUAUAUAUACUCAUGGCUUCAUCAAAUGGCGGCGUACCACCUGGGUUCCGGUUUCACCCCACGGAUGAAGAGCUUCUGCACUACUACCUCAGGAAGAAGCUCUCCUUCCAGAAGUUCGACAUGGAAGUCGUUAGAGAGGUGGAUUUGAAUAAGAUUGAGCCCUGGGAGUUGCAAGGUACUAAUUUGUACCUACCUACCUAUUUCAUUUUACUGUACUUCCCACCAAACUGGACCAUACUCCCUCUAUUUCAUGCAUUUGCCAAUAACCCAUUUCAUUCCCCUCUUUUCUCCGUUAAUCUACCAGACCAAACGAAAGAGAAACGGAUAAAAUAAGUAACCUUUUUAUAAGCAUCUCCUGAAUUUAGCCUUGCGUGACAUGCUACUAAAAUUCUUCGUCUUUUUUUUUUUCAAUUACAAAAUAUCAGGUCAUUUCAAAGUACAAAUGAUUUCGUAUCCAACUAGACAAGUGCUAAGAUCACCAACAUAUCGAUCUAAGCCAGUAAACUAACAUAGAUAAAAACUGUACUCCAUACAGUACCCCAACAGAUUCCACAUACUAGCAGUAUAUAUAUAAAUAUGCACUCGUAGUAGUAUUUGAAAUCCAGAAAUGGAUAUUAUUCACCCUUAUUUUUGUUCCCCUCCAUUCACAGAAAGAUGCAAGAUUGGGUCCACCCCCCAAAAUGAGUGGUACUUUUUCAGCCACAAGGACCGGAAGUACCCGACAGGUUCAAGGACAAAUAGAGCCACCAAUGCCGGUUUCUGGAAGGCCACAGGGAGGGACAAAUGCAUAAGGAACAGCUUCCAGAAGAUUGGAAUGAGAAAAACCCUAGUUUUCUACCGAGGCAGAGCCCCUCAUGGCCAAAAGACCGACUGGAUCAUGCAUGAGUACCGACUGGAAGACGGUGAUGAUCCCGAAGCCAAUCCCAAUGUAAGUCUCCCAACGCAAGAUGUAGCUAGUGUGUGUGUGUGUGUGCAUAUAUAUAUAUAUAUGCAAAAUUAUCAAUUAUUCACUUUCUCUUGGUCAAUAGAUUGUAGCAAAAUUAGUUAUCAGGCUAGACUAAUAUUAUAUAUAUAUAUAUAUGCAAAAUUAUCAAUUAUUCACUUUCUCUUGGUCAAUAGAUUGUAGCAAAAUUAGUUAUCAGGCUAGCUAAUUAAUUAGUCAACAACACAGCACAUACUCAGAGGUAAGUAACGACGAAUCCCAUGAAUGGAUUUUGAAGUCACACACUUAAUUUAAUCAAAGGCCCCCUAGCUAGGUACCUGCUGUCACAUUGACCUCCCUCACACAUAUUCGUCCCGUGGAGGCCUGGUUUCUUGAAUGGAUCGAUGCAUUAAAUCAUGUCCAAGUAACAAUUCCAGCAUGAAUGCAUGUGGUCUUAGUUAGUUAUAUACGAAAGCAUGUAAACACUUGUUAUCUGUACUGUAUGUACUGCAGGAGGAUGGAUGGGUUGUUUGUCGGGUUUUCAAGAAGAAGAAUUUAUUCAAAGUUGGAAAUGAAGGAGGAGGGACCGGUGGCGGCAGUGGCGCGGCUGCCUCAGACCAUCUCAAUGCUACUGCUUCCACCAAUAUUAAUCAACCUCGUGGCUUCAUGCAAAGGGAGAAUCAGUACUUGUUUCACCAGCAACACCACCCCCAUGUCCUAGCUGGCUAUUCUCACAUGAUCCCACUGCCCUCCAUGCCUCAUCAGCAGCAAUACUCGGCCCAACAGAUUCAAGCACAGAACUUCAUACCCACGCAUAAGCCCCAGUUGGACGCCAUGGGAUAUGAUCUCUCAGCUUUCUCUUCGGCCGCUUCAGAGUCAAUAGUAGUACCCAUGAUGCAGGUCAAGCAACUCAUGGCAAAUGCUAGGGACUGUGACAGCGGAGAAAGCGACCAGAAUAACAGCAGUCUUCGCACUUACCAGCAAGCAUGUGAAUCCGGUUUGGAGGUGGGAACCAAUUCUUGUGAACCUUCUCAGCAUCAAAGUAUGAUUACUACCGGAGACGAUCAGAAUCUGAACGAAUGGGGAAUGAUUGAUCCUCAACUUGGACAUGCGCAUGACUCCUCCAAAGGUGCAAGGUUUGAGGUUGGGGAACCUAAUAAUCCAUCUAAUUCCAUGAAUCACGUCAGUCAACUCUCACUGCGUGGUGAGAUGGAUUUUUGGGGUUACGGCAAGUAGUUUAAGCAUAUGGUGUACACUACCCAUUGAUUCAAGAUUUAGGUAAUUAAUCAGUCAGAAAUAGAAAGUAAUUUAUAUUAACCUGUGUAUCAGAGGUCCUUCGAACAAAUUCAUGAGGUGCAACCAUGUAAAAAACAUUGAACAGAAUCAUUAUUUCCAUUUAAUGUCACUGUGCUACUUUUCCUGUGCUUCUAGUAGCAUCUUCUUGUUGUGUGACGCUGUCAAACAGGAAGUCUCUUUUCCUUGAAAUAUAUAUAUAUAUAUAUAUAUAUAUAUAUGAAAGGUAACCCCGAUCUUAAAGUAAUUCUUGAUUAGGAAGAUAGAAAGGUUAUAAAUACCGUGACUUUGUAACUAUCAAAUAGAAAGUAAUUCCUAUCUUAAAGUAAUUCGGAAAAUAGAAAUGUUAUAUACACGUAACUAUGUAACUAUCGACUGGAAAGUAACCACGGUCUUAAGUAAUUCUUGAUUGAGCCUUAGAGAGCUCGGUCUAUUGCAUAUAAGCCAUGCGCAUUAUGACCAAUAAACAAUAAUGAGCUUAAUGACCAACAGGUCCAACACACGGAUAUGUUUGCAUAUUUUUAUAUUAUAGAUGUUAUUAGUAUUAACUUACCUUUAUUAAAGAAAGUUAUUAGGAUCUUAUCUUUAUUAAGAAAUUAAGUUAUUAAUAUUGAAGGACAAAUUACAUUUUACCCCAUGUGGUUCAGUGUUUCUGUAUAUAAUCUUCCUAUGGUUUCAAAAAGCUAUAUAUAAUAUUCUCAUGAUUUGAAUUAAAGUGUUAAAAUAACGAAAUUUACAAUCCAUAACAGAGUCACCUAAAAUAUAAAAAAUACACCUAUAUAAAGUUAAAAAUUAUUUAUUAACCACAGGGGGGUUAUGUGUAUAUUUUGAAAAUUAUAAGUGAGUUAUAUAGUAAAGCAUUAAAUCAUAAGGGGGUUAUAUGAUAAAAUAUAAAACCAUAUGGGGUUAAUGUGUUAUGUAUAUUAUAUUUAUAUAUUUUGGUCACUUCAGCAAUUUUAAUUUUUAAUUAAGAAUAAUUUCGACAUUUUUAAAGAUUCCAUUACGAAUGAUCAUUUCCAUCAUUUUGACACUUUAAUCCAAACUAUGAGGGGGUCAUGUAUAGUUCUUGAAACUAUAAGGGGUUAUGUACAAAAAAACACUAAACCAUAGUGGGGUGAAAUGUAAUUUGCCCAAUAUUGAAUGUCAUUUAUAGAAAGCGGAGGAUCUGAGCUGUUUAAAAUCUACAUGCUUACUGCUCUGGGAAAGAGAUGCCAUUAUGUCUACGUACAAAAGCUGGAAUAUGUCACAUUCACCAUGGAAACUUGGUAAAAACAGAAGCUUUUUUGAAUGUUUUGAGACAUGAGAAUUUACAUGACCAUCCCCAGUCAAUUAUUAAGAUCGGAGAUUCACUAAUGCAUCACGAGCAUUACGAAUCUGCACUAGACUACUAUAUGAUGUUGGUAGGAGAUGUAGUUAAGAACCAUGGCUGCCUGUAUCUGAAAAUUGCCAAGUGUUGCAAUUGUCUGGGGAAACGAUUGCAAUCAAUUGAUUACUUCUAUAAAGCUUUAGAUAAACUUGAGAAUAGUGUUGAUGCUUGCUUGGCUUUGUCAUUACUUCUUCUUGAAGAAAAUAAAGAUGAUGAAGCCAUUUCUGUUCUCUGUCCUGCUAAAGAAUCAGAGUCACAAUUUAACUUGAACCUAAAUGCAGCAAAACCAUGGUGGCUUAAUGGGAAGAUAAAGUUGAAGCUUUCUCAAAUCUAUAAAGCUAGAGGAUUGCUGGAGGCAUUUGUGAUGUAAUUUUUCCUGUAGUUCGUGAGACAUUGUUUCUUGAGACCAUACAACAAAAGGUCAGGCCAAGGAAGGAGCUAUCAAAAAGUGUUCUUUCUGAACGGAUAAAAAUACUUGAGCAUGUUAGGACUGAUACUGUGUUUCAUGGAUUUAGACCUGUCGCUUCAGCAUCAGAUCUGUCUAGAGCUUCCAGAGAAAAAAAGUUACUAAAAAAGAAGGAAUCUAAAAGAACUGCUGCUUUGGCCGCUGGAAUUGAGUGGAUAAGGGAUAAUUCAGAGGAUGAACCUGCUCAACAAGCGCCAAGAAAGCUUCCUCCUCCAAGCCUUCUAAGAGAUGCAGAGCAUCAUUUUCUCAUUAUAGAUUUAUGCACAGCACUGUCAUCCUUGAAAAAGUAUUGGGAAGUGAAGAAGCACGGAAUUUCCCCGGACCGAGCUGACCUGAUGAGCUCGGGGUGCUGAUGGAAGAGCUGGUUCCAAGCCUGCUAAACAAACAAGGGUGAGCUAACGGGGGGCCCUGAGGUUGUCCCCGAGGGCACUCCGACGGUCAAGUUAGUUCUCCGGUGAGCAGGGGAAGUACUAACAGUAAAGCAGUCGGGAGUGAAUUGCCAAUAGUCAGCGUACCUUGUACAGUAGGUAUGUGUUACCAUUUAUACCUGUUGAAGAGUCCGACCUCCGUACGUUCCGGGACUUGCCGCGGAUAGCUCCCAACCCCGCACUGAGGGGGAUUCUUCCCGCCCUCUGCGGGGUAGCUCUAGGGAGCCUCCCGGAGCCCUAGCCGCCGCGCACCCUGGGCUGGUUCCCCGUGGGCCCGGGGUGCAAGCCCAGCUCAGGUCGACCCUGGGCUGCCACGUGUACAGGCCCAGGAUGGGGCCUCUGCACUAGCCCCCUAGAUUAGGUCAGGCUCCCGGGCAGACCUGAUCUAUCGCUUAGCCACGUGGAAGCCCAUCAUCACACCGCUCUGCCGCGGUCACCCCCGGUGCAGUGCUGACAUUGGGAAGUGGCGUCCGCAUCCUUUCAAUUGUCGCGUCCCUUCGGUCUCCGUACCCCCAUUUAAUGCGUUCACAUGGGACGGUUCGAAUUCAAGUAACCGUUUUUCCCCCAUUUUGUUCCCUAUAAAUAGUGGCCGCCAAAUCCCAGUUAACUCUAUUUGCCAUUUUCUCCUUUUCUCGUGCAUUUCCAACUCCCAGUAGUGCAUUUCCGGCCAACAACACCCAGAUUCCGGCGAUCCCGCUUCAACUCCAAUACAUCCCUUGCCGCUAGUAAGUCCUUUCCCCUUUCCUUUCGCAUUUCCUUUUCUCCUCCUACCAUCCUUUGCAUUUUAUGUCGGGCCUCUCCGACGUCACUUCCACCGCCUCCCAGACUCCAGUCCGUCGUAGAGCCACCAGAAUCUUCAUCUCCUCUUCAUCUUCAUCUUCAUCGUCUCCCUCUCCUUCUCCUUCUUCAUCCUCUGCUUCCAACCCCAACUUUUCCAUUCCUGAUUUGUUUGAGCCCAUUGACAUCAUGAGUUCCCCAUCUACUCAUUCCCCUUCCGCCCGGCUCCUGGAGGAGGUGGCCGAGCUCGAUGCCCUCAUCGAGCAGCGAGCCACUUCUGUCCCCUCCCCCAAGUCUCCACACAACUCCCCCGGCGGAGCCCAUGAGGGAGCUGGGGAGGACAGGGACUCCUCAGAGGGGACCCCUGCCGCCGAGCAGGGGGAUGACCCUGAAUUUAACUACGGUCACCCCGACCGGGAGGAGACCACCCUCUCGCCCGGGGCGGUGGCCGAUCUGGCCGCGUCCUUCUCUAUUCCUUCGGCUUUCGAGCCCCGAGCUGCCGGGCCCACCGACCGGGCUUGCCGACCUCCCCCAGGCUUUGUAGCCAUCUACAAAGAGCAAUUGGUCGCGGGGCUUCGACUCCCCAUUCCUCCGGCCCUGGCCGAGAUCCUGAGCUACUGGGGGCUCAGGAUAACCCAGGUCCACCCCAACUCGAUCAGGAUAAUCGUCGGAUUCCUGAUCUACUGCCAGAUCUGCUCCAUCCCCUAUUCUCUCUCCCUCUUCCGUUCCAACUACGCCCUCAAGGCUUCUCUCCCUGGGUGGUACUACUUCUGCCGUCGCUCUACCAGCAAUCGCGGCGGGAAGGGCGCCCAGGAUCUACUGUAUGGGGUCCCUUCUUCCGUGAAAAACUGGAAGGGGGACUUCUUUUUUGUUAAAAACAUGCGAUUCCCCCGCCAUGCGUGGAAGGUUGGGGGGGUCGGGGACGACCCCCAUCCGGAGGACCUGGACCCUGAGGCCUUUGGCCAGAUGCUGGGUUCUGCGGUGAAGCUGUACGCAGCCAAGUUCUCCACUGAGCAGAUCUCCGGAGCCGGGCUGUUGGGGAAGCUAUCCGGGUCCCCCGGAGGGGUGGAGUUCUCCCCCGCCGACCAAGGCACCUGUAAUACUGCUCCUGGUCCCUUGUGAUCUGCUUCCUUGUUAUCUGUAUCCUUGCCUCCUAUAUUUCUCCGACUUGUAGCACUAAUCCGGUGCUGUUUUUUGCAGUGAAGAGGCUCUCCAGGCUACUGGGCGCGCCGACUGAGGAGGCAGCCUCCGCUGAUCAGCCUGAGGCGGCGAAGAAGGCCCCUGAGGCCUCGACGACCCCUGGGGACAGCUCGGCCCCCCAGAAGGAGGCCUCCCAGGCUCAGUCCCCCUCCAAGCCAGCCCCCGGAAAGAAGAAGGCAACGGGGCAGAAGAGGGGGCGAGAAGAUGAGCCUCCCCAGCCUGGGAAGAAAUCUGCGCAGGGCCCAGCCCAGCGCCCCCUCCUGCUGACGUCUGGGGGCCCUGUCCACCUGGGGGUAGGCUCCGCGGAGGAGCACGCUCAGGAGAGCGCCCCCCCGAGCUUGUGGCACUUCCGCCACGUGGCUCCCACAAAGCCGGGGCAAGCCCCCACAAUGCAUGAUCUCCGGCGCUUCUGCCCGUCCGGGGAGCUCUCCAUCAAUGACCGAGCCCAAUUCCCCGAGGUGGCUCGCGAGCUGGUCACGGGCUCACUCCUCCCACGUGACAAGAAGUGGAUGGAGCUGGCCAGCCCGUCCGAGCUCCAGGACAUGUACUACACCGCCCAGGCCCAAGUAAGCCCCCUCUCUUUUAGGCCCCUUAGGUCCCUGUUCUUUCUCUGAAUGGGGUUAGCAGUAUGCUAACCUUUACUCUUAAUUCUUCAGGCCAACGCCGCCGGUGCUGCCCUGGUAACCCGCUUCUCCGAGCUGUCUCCCGACCUGGAGAAGAUGCGGAAGAAGAACCAGGAGGCCGAGCAAAAACUGGCUAAGGCCCUUAAGGAGGUAGACUCCCUUAAGGCCAAGCUGGGCCAGGCUGAGAAGGGACUGGAGGACUCCCAGGUCCAGCUCGCCUCCACCCGGUCUGAGCUGGACCAGGAGAAGAAGGGCGUGGCGAAGUUGAGGGAGGAACACGCCUUUGAGCUCUCUGGCGCCCUCAGCUGGGAGCGCAAGAAGGCUGUCCGGGACUUCAUCCACUCCGACCAGUUCGCCGAUGACGUGGCCUGCCUCAACCAGCCCAUCUUCCAGAUGGGCGUCACGCGGACCCUGGACAAAGUGAAGGGCCUCAACCCACCCGGCUUCAACUUGACGGAUUUCAAGGACUACAAUCCUGCGGCCGAGGAGAAGCUGGAUUGGCUCUUCGAUGGGUACCGCAAGAGGCAUGCCCUGAGGGAUCUGGCGAGAAGGAGUGAUGUGGGGGCCGAGCUGGCGGAGCUCCCCCUGGAGGAGGAGGAGACUCAUGGCAGGGCUUCCGGGAAGGAGCCUGUGGCCUAAGGCCGGCCACUCCAGUUGAAAAUGCCCUUGAGGGUCCAUCCUCCUUUUUUGACAGCCUUCUCUACCAUCUUCCUUUUUAACAGCCUUCUCCACCCGACCUCCAACAUGCUUAAGGUGUACCCUCAGCUCCCACCUCAAGCAGGUCGCCAGCAAGAAGAAGACGUAGCUAGGUCCCCCUUUCCCUGUAUAACUCAGUGAGCGUUGUAAUAGAUAGGCUGGAAAUUUUGUAAUAGACAGGCUGAAAGUUUUGUAAUAGAUAGGCCUUAAAUGCAUAUACGAAAUUCGAAGGAGACCUUCUCGUAAUUCUCGCAUACGCCAAACUCUAGCAACUAAAACCAUGUGCCGACCUCCUGGGUCGAGCACUAUAUAUAUAUAUACCCCUUCUCAAUCUAACAGCCAAAUUGUCAAAGGCAAUCCAACUAUCAAAAUCAUGUGCCGACCUCCUGGGUCCAGCACCGAGUAUACUCAUCAAGGCGACGCGCCAGCCUAUUGGAACUGAGCACCAAACUUUCAGGAUAGUCCUGCCGACCUCCUGGGUCGAACGCCGAACUCCCGAGCUUUGAUGAACCCUCAAUAGUUCACUUGAACCUUUCAGGAUGGUACCGCCGACCUCCUGGGUCGAACGUCGAACUCCCGAAUUCCAACGAACACUCAGUAGUUCACUUGACGCCGACCUCUUGGGGCCGAGCGUCGGACUUGUGGCUUUCAACGCCUCAAGCCGUGUCGACCUCCUGGGCCGAACACUCCCACGUGCCGACCUCCUGGGUCGAACACUAUCGCAUAUUCCUCCCUAGCCCCCCACUAGGACAUUUAGUGAAGGAACGCUAAGUGUGCUAGUGUAAAAAACUCAAAAGACAGACAAGUACAAACCAAACUGAAACUCGAAAGUCGGGCCUUUAUCGAAUGAUAAAACUGAAAUUCCAAAGAAUCAGACAACUGAAAAUCCUGGUCUAACCUACGCUACAAACAGUCGCAGAUUGGAGAAGUGCCAAGUGCGGGGUACCUCGGAUCCAUCCAUCCAGAUUGGAGAGUUUGCAAUACCCAGCUCGAUUUGCCUUCGAGACCUUGUAUGGCCCUUCCCAAUUUGGAUCAAGCUUGUUGGAGGCAUGAGCUCGGCUGACCGAGUUCUUCCUCAGGACAAGGUCGCCCGGCUGGUACUGUACGGACCUAACCUUGGCGUUGUGAUAGCGGGAGAUCUGACUUUUGUACUUAGCCAUUCGUACCGCCGCCUCCUCACGCCUGGCCUCUAGUGUGUCUAAGUUGUACCUCAGCUCUUCCUCGUUGGUGGUUGCAACGAAGUUCUGUGUCCGGGGCGAGGGGAAACCAAUCUCCGCGGGCACUACAGCCUCCACCCCGUAAGUUAGAGAGAACGGGGUCUCGUGGGUGGCCACCCUGGGCGUGGUGCGGUAAGCCCAUAGGACGCUGGGUAGUUCGUUUAGCCAGUUAGACUGGGCUAACUCCAACCUGGUCUUUAACCCUUGCAGAAUUGUUCGGUUAACGUUUUCCACCUGCCCAUUGGCCUGGGGGUGUCCGACCGAGGUGAAAUGUUGGCUAAUCCCUAGCUCGGCGCACCAGCUUUUGAAGGGAUUUUCAGCAAACUGUCGUCCGUUGUCGGAUAUCAAGACAUGCGGGAUCCCGAAGCGGCAGACUAUGCUUUUCCAGAAGAACUUUUGAAUCGCUCUACCCGAGAUAGUGGCCAGGGGUUCGGCUUCCAUCCAUUUCGUGAACUAGUCGAUGGCCACCACUAGGUGCUCGUACCUGCCCGGAGCUCGGGGGAAAGGACCCAGGAGGUCUAUUCCCCAUUGGGCGAAGGGCCAAGGACUGUGGAUGGGGACCAUCUCCUGAGUGGGCUGGUGGCGCAGCGGGGCAUGCACCUGGCAAGCUCGGCACUUCUGAACCACCUCCGCGGCAUCUCGAAAGACCGAAGGCCAAUAGUAGCCCAGGAGAAGGCACUUUUUGGCCAGUACCCGGGAGCCGACAUGCGCCGCGCAUAAUCCUUCGUGGACUUCGAGGAGGACGUAAUCGCCCUCCUCUGGCGUCACGCACUUUAGCCAGUGGGAUAAGUAUAACCUCCUGUAGAGGGUUCCCCCGGCGUAGGCGUACUUGGCAGCUUUGAGCUGGAUCCGUCGAGCCUCGGUUUUGUUCUCGGGGAGGGCACCCGAGCUGAGGAAGUGUACAAGAGGGGUCAUCCAGGUGGCCGAGCUGUCUAUAGCCAGGACCUGAACCUGAUCAAUACUUUUCUGUUUCACAACUUCCACCAGGACUUCCUUGCUCAGGUGCGCAAACGAGCAGGAUGCCAGCUUUGACAGGGCGUCUGCGCGCUUGUUUUGCGAUCUAGGCACCCGCUCGAUUUCAAACGUAUGAAACAGGGCUGUCGCUUCCUGCACCUUGGCCAAGUACUUCUUCAUGAUUUCCUCCUUGGCCUCGUACUCCCCGCAAACUUGGAGGACGACGAGCUGAGAGUCACUCCGGACUUUGAUCGCGGUAAUGCCCAUUUGGUGGGCUAUCCGCAAUCCCGUCAGUAGGGCCUCAUACUCAGCCUCAUUGUUAGACGCGGGGAAGUCAAACCGCAGAGCAUAGGUCAGUUCUUCCCCCGUUGGCGAGAUGAGCAGUAGGCCAGCUCCGCUUCCCUCCUUGCUGGAGGCCCCGUCCACGAACAGCACCCACGGCUCCUUCGGCUGUGCACCCUCGCGCAGAGGGCUUAGCUCCGUUAAUGUCAAGCUGGCCCCCUCAGCAAGGAAGUCUGCCAGGACUUGGGCCUUAAUGGCUGUGCGGGGCCGGUAGCCGAUAUUGUGCUCGGCUAGCUCGACGGUCCACUUAGUCAUCCUGCCCGAGAUCUCGGGUUUUGUGAGUAUCUGCCGUAGAGGCUGGUCGGUCAUGACGACGACGCUGUGGGCCUGGAAAUAAGGUCGGAGUUUCCGGGCAGUGUGCACCAAAGCCAGGACCAGUUUUUCAGCCGGCGUGUACCGUGUCUCCGGCCCCUGUAGAGCUCGGCUAACAUAAUAUAUCGGCCUCUGGGCUCCCCUGUCCUCCCGCACCAGAACCGCGCUAACAGCCUCAUGGCAAGCGGACAAGUACAGGAACAAGGUUUCUCCCUGUUCCGGGGCGGUUAGGGUGGGCAGCUCGGCUAGAUAUGCCUUGAGGUCGGUGAAGGCCUUCUCGCACUCCUCGGUCCACUGAAAGUCUUUGGGUGCCUUAAGGAUUCGGAAGAAAAGGAGCCCCCUCACCGCGGACCGAGAGAGGAAUCUAUUCAGGGCGGCCAUCCUACCCGUGAGCCGCUGGACCUCUUUCACAUUCCGUGGGGGGGCCAUGUCCAUGAUGGCUUGGAGGUUUUCGGGGUUGGCCCGGAUCCCUUCUCGGGAGACCAAGAAACCGUGGAACCGGCCCGACCUAACUCCAAAAGUGCACUUCUUUGGGUUUAGCCGCAUCCGGCUCUCCCGCAGGAUGUUCAGGAUUUCCCUGAGGUUGGGGACGAGUUGGGGUCCUGCUCGGCUCUUGACGAUCAUGUCGUCCACGUAGACCUCCAUGUUCCUACCGAUCUGGUCCUGGAACAGUUUAUUGAUCAAUCGCUGGUAGGUAGCUCCAGCGUUCUUCAGCUCGAACAGCAUCGUCCGGUAGCAGUAGAUCCCUUCCUCGGUGAUGAAGGAGGUUUUUUCCCGAUCCUCCUCGGCCAUCUCUAUCUGGUGGUAUCCCUUAAAGGCAUCCACGAAACACAAAACAUCAAAACCAACAGUAGCAUCCACUAACCUGUCGAUCAUCGGCAAGGGGAAGCAGUCCUUUGGGCAAGCUUUAUUGAGAUCUGUGAAGUCGACACACAUCCUCCAGGACUGGUUCUCCUUUUUCACCAGAACAGGGUUGGCCAGCCAGGUCGAGUAGUAGACCUCCAUAAUGAUUUUGGACUCCAGCAGCUUUCCGACCUCCUUCCUGAUCACCCCAUUUCUUUCUGGGGCGAAAUUCCUCUUCUUCUGCUUCACGGGCUUGAAGUGAGGGUCUAUGUUGAGGUGGUGGACGGCCAGGUCGGUCGAAAUCCCUGGCAUAUCCUCUACCGUCCAGGCGAAAACCUGGGCGUACUCCCCUAGGAGGGACUUCAGGUCAUCCUUCUCAUUGGGUGGUAGCGACGCACCAAUGCGGAUUACCUGAUCAGACCUAUCCUCCUUCAAUGGGAACUCCUCGUUCUCGUCCGGAGUGCCCAGCUGCCGUUCCUCCUCGCCCGGGAUGUAAGGCUCCAAGCUGGUCGCCUGGGCGACCACCUUCUCGUGUCCCCGGAGCAUGGCCAGGUAGCAAGUUCGGGCCACUUCCGGAUCUCCAUGCACCUCGGCAAUUCCUUCCGGGGUGGGGAAUUUGACGCUGAGGUGGAGCGUCGAAGGAAUGGCCCGGAGGGCGCUCAAAGCGGGCCGACCUAGAAAUAUGUUGUACGGGGACGGCUGCUUGACCACCACAAAGUUGACAGGGAUGGUCCGGCAUCUGGGUGCCUGACCUACUGUGACCAUCAGGACGAUCAUCCCCUCCGGGUUGAUGGGUGGUCCCGUAAAACCCACCAGGGGUGUCCGAACCGGGGUCAGCUGUCCAUCCUCCAAACCGAGCUCCUUGAACACCCGAUAAAACAUAAUGUCGACCGCACUGCCUUGGUCGACGUAUACCUUCUUCACCCGAUAGUUGUUGGUCACCACAUCGAUGACUAUAGCCUCAUGGUUCCCAGAUGCUAGGGGAACCGCAUCUCUCGGCCCGAAGGUGAUCUUCUCGUCCAUACGCAGGCGUUUUAGGGAGUCGUCUCCCUCGGGAGGAGAUCGCUUGUUUUUCCGAGCUGUAUGGCUGUCUCCCCCCGUGGGACCGCCGGCAAUGGUGUUUAUCACACCAGCCAAGUUCUGGGCGUCCUGGUCGGGAGAAUAGCCCCGGGGUGCGCCACACCGAUCAGGUCGGUCACGGUGCUGGCCCUCGCCUCUCUCUCCACGGUAGGUGCGUCCCGGCUCCUGGCCGGGACGGCCUUGCCGCACAAAUCGACCCAGGAAGCCGCGCUGAACGAGGUCCUCGAUCUCCCUCUUUAGGGUCCAGCAACCCUCAGUAUCGUGCCCGACGUCCCUGUGGAAGGCACAGUACCGGUCCUGAUUCCUCUUAUUCCGAGGUGUGUCCAUUUUAGGCGGCCGGUCUCCCAGGCCCUCUGUCUCCAUGACAGCCAGGAUCUGCGCCCUUGGUCGAGUUAGGGGUGUGUACCCUUUUUCAGGGAGCGGCGGUUGAGCGGGGGCCCUGUUCUUGGAGAGGCGAUCGAAGACGUUCUUCCUGACUUGGCCGUCCUUGGUUUCAGGGGGGUUCGCUCGUCCUUUCCGGUCCCCGAACUCCCGAUCUGAUUCCCGUUUCAAGCGGCCGGCCUCCUCUGCGUUGGCAGCAGCGUGAGCCCGGUUCAGGAGCUCUCCCAGAUUCUUGGGGGGCUGCUCGACGAGCUUGUAGUAGAGCUCCUCUACCCUUAGCCCGUUCAUGAAGGCAGCCAUGACCACCUUCUCAUCUUUGUCCCUGAUCUGCAGACUUUCCGUGUUGAAGCGCGUCAUAAAAUUCUUCAGGGACUCAUCCGGCUUCUGCUUGACGGCCAUCAAGUGAGCCGCGUUUUUCGAGUAGGUCUUCGAGGAGACGAACUGGGCAGCGAACUGUCUGGCCAGCUCGGUGAAAUUCCGGAUAGACCCCGGCGUUAGGCCCUGGAACCAGAGCCGGGCCUUACCCUUCAGGAACAUGGGGAAGGCCUUGCAACGGAGUGCAUCCGCGGCGGUCUGCAGACGCAUGUGCGUCAUGAAGACCGAGAGGUGGUCUUCCGGGUCCGUCGAACCAUCGUACAGCUCGAUGUUCGGAAUUUUGAACCUCCGAGGUAACGGGUAGUCCUCUACCUCUCGGGUGAAGGGCGAGGCUGCGUAGUUAUCCUCAUACUGUUGUGGCCGCAGGAUCUGCUCGAUCUCGUCCCGGACGGGCUGCCACUGAGGAGGAUCCCGCGGCCGACUCUGGAUGGACCGGGCGGGGGAUCGCUCCGGUCCGUUCCUCGCGAGCUUCCACCAGGAGGGGUUCCUCAGGCGGCCCCCAGCGGACCGGUCACGAGAAUACCUCUCACUGUCCCCGACCACCGAGGCUCGCGGCUUAGGAGGAGUCCGCGGUCGUUUCCUCCUGGGGGGCUGGUCCCGUGACUCGUCCUCCGAGGGGAUGAGGAGCGAUUCCUUCUCCUUUCCCUUCGCCUUAGAGGUCUGCGCACCGCCAGCCUCACCCCCCUCCUUCGCCUGCCGGAUUAUGUCUUCCAGCAUGGGAAGGUUCUCGGUUACAAAUUGGUAUAUCUGCUGUUUCCGUUCCCCCGAAAGGGCCGAGCUCCCGGCGCCUCGGGCCGCCUCGGUCUCCAGCCGCCGGGAUCCCUCGCCGGCUCCGGGAUCAGUGUUAUCCACGGUUCGCUUGGAACGUGUUCUCGCCAUCAACACAAAUACUCGUAUUUUCGGUUCCCACAGACGGCGCCAACUGAAGAAGCACGGAACUUCCCCGGACCGAGCUGACCUGAUGAGCUCGGGGUGCUGAUGGAAGAGCUGGUUCCAAGCCUGCUAAACAAACAAGGGUGAGCUAACGGGGGGCCCUGAGGUUGUCCCCGAGGGCACUCCAACGGUCAAGUUAGUUCUCCGGUGAGCAGGGGAAGUACUAACAGUAAAGCAGUCGGGAGUGAAUUGCCAAUAGUCAGCGUACCUUGUACAGUAGGUAUGUGUUACCAUUUAUACCUGUUGAAAAGUCCGACAUCCGUACGUUCCGGGACUUGUCGCGGAUAGCUCCCAACCCCGCACUGAGGGGGAUUCUUCCCGCCCUCUGCGGGGUAGCUCUAGGGAGCCUCCCGGAGCUCUAGCCGCCGCGCACCCUGGGCUGGUUCCCCGUGGGCCCGGGGUGCAAGCCCAGCUUGGGUCGACCCUGGGCUGCCACGUGUACAGACCCAGGAUGGGGCCUCUGCAGGAAGCAUUGGAAAUCAUCAAUCUAACUCUGAAAUUGGCCUCCAAUGUUUUGUCUGUUGAAAGGAAGGAAGAGCUUGGAACUCUGGGAGCCCAAAUAGCAUACAAUAUUGCUCAUCUUGCUCAUGGCUUUGAAUAUGCACGCUAUUCUGCUUACAAAGUAAUCUCAAACUGGACAGCCGAUAUUCAAAGCUUAACAAGCUUUUGCACACCAUGCGAACCAAGCACAAAGGUUGUGUACCACUCACCCUCGUUUUUGGGCACCAGUUUACCAUGAUCAGCCAGCAUCAAGCAGCAGCUCGGGAAUAUUUGGAAGCUUACAAGCUGAUGCCAGAUGUUCCCUUGAUCAAUCUCUGUGUUGGAACUGCAUUGAUGAACUUGGCCUUGUGUCACUGACUUCAAAACAAACAUCAGUCAGUGGCACAAGGAUUGGCGUUUCUUUACUAUAAUUUAUGUCUUUGUAGAUAUAGUCAGGAAGCAGUGUAUAAUAUUGCUCGACCAUGUCAUCAUGUCGGUCUUGUUUCUCUUGCUGCUGUAAACUAUGAAAAGGUUCUUACAAUGCAUGAAACUGAUUACCCCAUGCUGAACCUUCCAGAUGAGAAACCAGAUGGUUUGGCUUAUCUAAAGCCAGUUUACCGUGAUCUUCAUCGGGAAGCAGCUUACAAUUUGCACCUGAUCUACAAGAAAAGUGGAGCAAUUGAUCUUGCUAGGCAAGUCUUGAAAGAUCAUUGUGUCAUAUGACUAAAUAGAGGUAAUUUCAGUUAGUUCUUGGCUAGUUUCUUCUUGGUACUAUUUGGUGAAUAUCACAUAAGAUGGGAGACAUUAAUAUUCCUCCAUUAUCAGGUAUGGACUCUUGAACUUCUUCCACUUGUCAUUGUUUAGCUUCGGUCGUAAUCUUGUAGGAAAGCAUUUUCCUCAGCCCUUGUGUGUGUACUUCUGUAAAAUAGAGAGGAAAUCAGUUCCUUUAAUAUUCAAUUAUGAUUAGAUCGUCAUCGCCAUAUAUUUGACAGGCUUUCUUGACAGAUAUUCCGUAAUUCAGUUAUUUAAUUCCUAAGCUGUCAUGUUAAAAUCUCUACAGCCUUAAUCUUACAAUUAAAUGUCUUGAGAUGUCCAUGCAUGUGCCUAAACAGCAUCUCGCUUCUCCGUGCACUCACAACAUAUACAACAGGAAUGUGGCUUUACGUUGUUCAAGCCCAGGAACGUGAGAUUUCACGUAGUUUAAACCCAGAAUUGUAGUUUCAUGUUGUUUUUCGUGGUGCAGAAGCUGGUAGUAAUUAUUGCUGUUUCGAUUAAAUGCUCGAUAAUGGAGGGGCAACAGACGAACGUUUCUCACAACAACAGACAAGGAGCAACAUAUAUUUAUUCAAGUCGUAGAUGAAAAUGGAUACAAAGCAAUGCGGUCUAAUUAAUCUGUCUUACAGAUUACCACAAUCAAAUUUGGCAUGUUCAUUUCGAUCUCGGAACAGAAUAACCAUUAUGAUGGCAGCAAUGAACUUUGUAAUUGACAUUGGCGGGCUCCCCAGGAUGAGACCAGUGAGGUAUGCUUGUGUUGCCAAUCGCACCAUCCGCAUUCUUCGCUCUUCUACAUAUUGAUCAAAAGCUUGCCCAAUUUUGUCAGUCAUGAUUUCUUUUCCUCUUUCAUAUGGACUGAGAGAAGCAAUCUUCCUUCCCAGAUUCCUUGCAAGAACCACUGCAUCUUCCAAGGCUGCGGAACCACCCUGUCCUAGGAAUGGUCCCAUGGCAUGCAUUGCGUCUCCAGCUACUGUAAUGGGUCCUCUUCGAAACCUUCCCACCAGCAUCUCCCACGGGGCAUGGUAUCUCAAGUGUGUGAUGGACAAUGAGUCUAGAUCACUUCCUUCUAUCAUCUCUACGGCAUCAGAUGGAAAGCCUUCUGUUAUUUUCGUGGUUAACUUUCUAAUGAGUUCUGGGUCAUCUGGAAAUUUUCUAUCUGCAGCAAAAUUUGAAGACCAUCAAGAAAUAGACAACCACUUCGACCUUAAAUUCUAUGCCAACAGCGUGAUGUUCAUCAUACGGUAGCACUAAAGCACACGAUGAUGGUGAGAGCAAGACUAAUUAAUCCUUCAUGUGCUUAUGAUAGCAAUACUGUUCCUUAACCAAUGGAACACUAACUCCAUCGAAUAUGGCAUGAAAGCCGAUUCAGGUCAGAGAUCCAGUUGAGGUUCCUGAAGUGCCCCUUUGCUUUGUCAAAAUAUUUUAGGAAAACCAAGAAAUGAGAGAGAGAAAAAAAGGGAAUCAAGGAGCAUUUUAUUACCUAACUUGUUACUCAAAGAACAAAAAAAUUACCUAACCAAGACAAUGGUACAGUAACAAACCAAUAGACCAAAUUAUUGUCAACAGGAAUUCGUCCCACCAUAACUCUGUCUCUCUUGAUCCGCACAAGCUCAGGAGAAAACACAUGACCGUUUGGAUAACUCGUUAAGCCUCUAACUGCACAAAGAGCAAAUAACCUUGUAGGCUUUAUGCCAAGGAAAUCCGCCACUACGGAAUUUGAUCCAUCACAUCCAAUAAGAACCUGCGAAGACAUAAUGAGCAUAAACAACUUGUAACUGACUCAUCCCCCUAGAUGCAGCUUUGGUGCGAAACACUGCUAUAGUCAAGCUUCUUCCUCUAAUUCGCAUUAAAAUGUGAACGCCUAAUUCUUAAACAUUUUUGGAAGCCAAACAUUCAAUUCCAAUUAAUGCUAGUACUUCCCAAAAUGUUCUAUUCAAGGAAGAUGAUACUACUAAUAACUUUUAACUAGGAUGAUACCAAAUUCAGGUAAUAAAAGAUACCUUGGCUCUAAUAGAGCUGCCAUUAUUGAGUGUGAGAGUUGGAAACAUAUUUUUAGGGUCCAUUGUUACAGCAACAACCUUGUAUCCAAAUCGUACAGUUUCAGGCGGUAAAGCAUCAGCAAGAGCCUUGAUGAGAUCACUCCUUUUCAAGCAACGAGCUUCACCACCCCUACAGAAACAGUUUAGCUCAUACAUGCACAUGUUUACGUAGGUACAAUCAAGUAGAAAAUCCUGUACAUGGCAUGGUAUGUAUUUGGCAUUGAAGUUUAGAGAAGAAAGAUUGACUUACGGAAAUGGUAUUGGCUGUUGCUGGUUUCCUUCGUCAACCCAUAUGUCCUGUCCUCUGUAUGUACAUGUCGGCAAAUAAAUCAGGUAAUCAAUUUUGGGAUCAAGUUGCAUAUAUUCUCUGGUUUGCCAAGAAAUACAGAAGCAGAGAUGUAAAAGACAGAACUUGCCUACCUAUGGAACCUUUUAAAAAAAAAAAAAAAAAAAUUUGUUUGUGUAUAAGUUUUUAUUGAUCAGUACACACGUCAAACAAUUAAAAGCAAAUGAUUAUUUUUUAGAACCCAGAACCCAUCAAAGUUGCAAAUAGCCAUGAAAGAUCAAGAAAAAAAAAGAACAAAGAAAAAGCAACUAUCUGCAAGCUCUAUAAAAAAUUAUUCAAGUUCUCCUGUGUUUUCUGAACCUUCUUCCAAAUUGCGAUUAAGGUUCAAUUUCUUUGAGAACUUGACCAUGUACAGAUGACUCAGAGUGGAACCGAAGAUGCUGAAUUUUGAGUGAUGGUGCAAAUUUGCUUUUGCUACAUAAGACCCUAUUUGAUACUCCAAUUCAGCAUUUAAAUUCAGGUCUUAACAUGUCAAAAUUUGAAAUUUUGAAUCAAUUAAAUGGCACCGAAUUUUCUAGUUAAAACUUGAUUCCAUAAAUAAACUAUGUGAUAUAAACUCAAAUAAUGCACACUAAGUUCCUUAAUGUGAUUAUCACUCAAGUUCCUUUGAUUUGCAAUCAUACUCGCUACUUGUAAGGAAAGAGAGAGAGUUGGGGACGGGCUAUAAGCUUUUAUCCUGAAUUUUUCCUAUGUAGCAGCAUAGCAUAACAGAGAAUUAAAUGAAACUACCAUUCAACAAGCGGUAUAUAGAAGCAAAUUACUCCCAAAAAAAAAAAACUUAGAUAGAUAGACAGAGCUUGGGAAUAGAAAGACGGAUAGAUAAUAGGAUAAGCACCCUUGAACAAGAAUAGCCUUGUCUCUGAGCACAUCUCCAACACCAAGCUGAUCAAGUGCCCGCCACCCAUUACGGAAGACGCCUAUAGCUGAACCCUCUGCUCGCAGACUCUCUGAUCUUUCAUAAACUACACUUCUGAGUCCUUUCCUGCAAAUGAUUGGUUAAUUAAUCAGCCAAUACUUAUCACGCACUACAAUUCUUGCCUCUGCAACUAAUUCAUAUACACAAAACCAACAGCGAAUGAAAGAGAAGAAGGACCUGUGAAGAGCAAGGGCCGUUGCAAGUCCGCCAAUACCCCCGCCAACUAUCACAACCUCGUGCUCUUCUUCUUCUCUGACUGCAUCCAUUUUUCUCUCUCCCUCUUUCUCUCUUAUAGUAUGACUUUUCUGAUGAUGGCUUCUUUUUAAUGCUAUAUAUGCAAAGUUGGUUAGGUGAUACUACUGUAGCAUUUACAAGUCCAGAGCAGGAACCCCGCAGUGUAGACCCCAUACCCAAUCCUAAGCUGUCUGGUUUCCACUUCGUGCAAGCACCCUCCUCAAUUUGUUCCAGACACGACAUUCGAGGUACUUAGAAUAAAAAUUACUAGAUCUCACUCAUAGAGGAUUAUUGAGUAAUACGGGUUUAUGUUUGUCUUUCUCCUCUUUUUAUUAUUAUUAUUCUUUUUUAUCCUCCCAUCUUUCCGGCUGUCCUUUUCACCGCCAACUGCGACACACAUAGGAUUUGAAUUCUAAAACCUCUAAGAACUGUCUAUGGAUUAUCAGUUGUCAUAAGUCCAACUCCAUUGAUUAGUCUUUCUCUUAUUGCAUGUUGCCAUCCUCUCAAAAUAUAGAGCAUAAACUGUCUAUGGAUUUUUUUUUUUUUGGUAAGAAACUGUCUAUGGAUUAUUACUACCUGAAGAAGUUUACUGACUAAAUGGGUAACGUUUCAAGUUUCAACUCUAGAACGGCUUCUCUCUAGAUGUUUACCCACAAAAAUAUAAUUCCUGACGUUUCAAAUUUGGACUUAGAUUCGUGCAUACAACGUGAGUCAUCCGGCUGACUUUGCGGAUCAGCUUCGAUGUUUAUCCAAAAAAAUAUAAAAAUAAAUCUUAUAUAUACGGACAGUGUAUACACUAUAUUCAUGAUAUAUAUAUAAAUUAAAUUUUAAAUUUACAUAAUUAUUAUUCAUCUAAGACUUUAUACUGUCAAAAUUGGAAAAGAUUAAUUUAAAAUAUAAUUCGCAUUACUUUUUCAAAAUUGGAAUUGAUUUCGUGCAUACAACAUGAGUCAUACGGCAAACUGUGGAUAUUAUAUUGAUACUUAUGAUAUAUCGUUAUCAUGAUCAAAAAGUACAAUGAGUCUUGGUUAGGGUGCAAACAAGUAAAGUUUAAUUGAGUAACUCACGAGUUUAUUCGAUCAAGACUCAAUCUCGAACUCAUAAACUCGAGUUGAACCUGGUUGAACUAGUUGACGAGUCAAUAUCAAACUUCAUAUGUAAAGUUGGAAAGCAUGCGUAUGCACGCGCACAUACACGCGUAUAUAUAGCUCACAAGUUUUUACUUGGUCAAAACUCAAUCUGGAACUUGCAAACUCGAAUUCAAGUAGGUCGAACUAGUUGACUAGUCAAGGUCGAGUUUAUAUAUGUAAAGUUCGAAAGAGCGAGCGCGCACACAUACACACACACAUACAUAUAUAUAUUAAUUACUAAUUUUAUAUUUAUUAGUAUGAAAUGUCCAUGUUGUCCCUUAUUUAAAAUUAUAUAAAAUAUAAACUCGAUCAAUUAAAUUCGAAAUAAGUUCAAUUAGCCUCAAUGAGCAAGAGUUCGAACUCAAACUAAAGUAUUGCAAAAUAAAAUUGAGUUCGAACUUGAGUUCGACUUACAAGAGUUCGAUAAGUUCGAACUCGAGAUCGAAUCCAAGUUUUUUAACUCGAGUUAAGGUCCAAUACUGCACUACUCGAGCACAACUUGACUUGAUUACACUCCUAGUCUUGGCAAUAGGAAGUAUAAGAGUGUAAGCAUAUUUUAAUCUUAGUUUUUGUUAUGCCAAAAUUACCCUCAUCUCUUUUAACUAGAGUUAUUGCAUGCCUUUUAAUUAGAGUUAUUGCAUUUUAAUCAUGACACUAAUAAGAAAAAUGAAAAGUUAUAAUGAAUUACAUCUAAAAAAUUUUGGUAUUUAAUAUUAAAAACUGUCCAUUUAUAACUAAUAUUCACCAAUCAUUUCCCUCAUCUCCAAUUCAUUAUUUUAUGUGUUAAAAUUAUCUCCAAUUAUUAUAUUGUUAUGCAUGAUAAUUAAACUUAACUAUAUUAUAUAUAUAUAUAUAUAUUGGUUUAGAAGAAAAUCAUGAUUAAUAAGAAGACAAAAGGUUAUAAACAGUUAAUGAGAAAACAAAAGGUUAUAUUACUUAUUAAAUUCAUUAUAUAAUGUCAUAUCAAUUAAUAAAACUCCAAAAAAAUUAUCAAUAAUUAAAAAAAUAUAACAAAAAAAGUUUACAACUAUUGAAAUUGAUAAAAAUUUGUUUGUUUUUGCUUAUUAUAGGUUUCUUAGUCAAUAUUAUACCAAUAGCUUAGUUUAAUUAUCAUGAUCUUCCAUCUUUAGAGUUUUUUAUAACUGUAAAAUACACAAUAAACAAGAAACUGUUUGGUAUUACAGAAAAAACUGAUCGUUUUUAGCCAGAGAGCAUUUUAAGGUAAGCAUCCCAUAAGCAUUGUCGUAGACCAAGGAGCAAGGAUUGCACGCCGUAUAAACUGAAAAAUGGUUUCCAAUUACAGGGUUCGAAAAUGGCUGACUGCCUUGUAAUGUCCCAUCAAAUUGUACAUUUCAUAGAUUUUCUGUUCGCGGACGAUUAGAACGACAAAUCAAAAGAAGGAAUUACAGGGUCGGAGCUCUUUCAGCAGUUCCGGCUAUGACAGUGAGCAAAUUAUUACCGAAGGGAUCGCUUAAAUGAGCUGCAAGGUUUUCAACGGGACCCUGUCCAGUGACAUAAGCUUGGAUGAAGAAACCAAGCAUUGCAAACAUGGCCAGUCUACCGUUCUUGAUCUCUUUCACCUUUAGGAGGGCAAACUGGUCAGGGUCCUUGGCAAGUCCCAAUGGAUCGAAAGGACCCCCUGGGUGAAGCUUGUCCUCUAGAUCCUGUAUGUAACACACUCGCACAAGUCAAUCUCCAAGUUCUCAUAGUGAUGGUGUAUGGAUAAGAAACAGUUGUAGUAUUAACAACUCAAAAUCUGAGCGUUAUCAAACUCAGCGAGCAUACCAGUGCAUUGGUUAUUCUGUAGUACUCAGCACCACCGACAAGAACAACCUCAAAAAUGACAGCAAAUGCAAGAUUAAUGGGAAUGUUCUUUCCAAAGUAAUUCAAUGUGUUGCCGUCGAGGAGUAGAGCCCCAGUCUGCACAAGUUGCGUGUUAACUAUUAACGCGAUAAGGAAAAAGAUAAAACGAGGUGCAAUGCUGUCAUACGAUCUGGAAGGCUUGCAGCAAGGAAAUGAAGUAACUACUACUACUUGCGUACCUUGAACCAAACAGCUUCAGGGCCGCAAUUGGCCCCAAAUUUGUUUAAGGCUUCAGGGAUAACAAAGCCAGCAGCACCAAGCAUGGCCCAGCGGCCGUGAAUAAGCUCAUAUGCUUGAUAUCUGCAUUACAAGAAUCCCAAAAUGGCCCCCGAAUGAAUAGUGUUCGUUAAAGUAGUAGUUUGACAAUAUGGUAUCCUCCUGAGUCAACAUGUACACCCGCAAAAAGGAAAUUCCAAAGUGAUGGAUGUGCGUACGAGUGCAAGCACAUACUUGAGAGUGCUAUCGAGGGUUACUUUACUUACUUGGCAAAGUUUUCUGGCUUCUUGCUGAGGCCAAAAGGAUCAUAUCCGUAACUGCAUAUUGACCAAAUCAGAUAUUGUCAGAACCGUGACUGCCGUUGCAAAUUCUCAGAAAAGGGGACAUGUAUAGACACAGAUUCAGGGUUAGUAAAAUGCGAGGCAGCAUACGCAAAAAACAACUCACUCUCCAGGAACUUCUCCUGUCAAGUACUCGGGGAUUUCUGAUCUGUCUAAGAGCCCCUCGGGCAGGAAAAUUCUUCUGUCAGGUCCUGAAAUAUUUGAGCAUCAAAGGAAGUGUUAAUUCAGGCAACCGUGCGUGCAUUAGUAUUUACAAGCAAAAGAUUGACACUUUGAUGGUGCAAAUUACUAGUUGCUAGCGAGUUAUGGAUUCCAAUUUCCAUGAUUUAUGAUCAGAUCAGUGAAUAUAACCAACUAACUGAAGGAGGGAACUAAUAAAGUGAAUUUGACAACUCACCAUACCACUUGGCGAGCUCGUCGUCCAAUGAAGAGUCGGCCGCAGGCUUGGGCUUUGCAGCAGCUUUCUUCUUCGAGAAAAGGGCAACAGUCUUGAAACUGGCGGUGUUAGAAGGAGAAGGAGCGCACCUUGAAGAGCUGGUGAAGUUCAGAGGGUUUCCGAGCAUUUCAGAGACGCCCAGAGAGGCAGCAGCAGUGGAGGCUGCAAGAGAAGCCAUUUGACCGUGCCCUGAGAUUUGAUACCCCGUCCAGAUACUGAUAUGAUGACGAGAAAUGGGGACUAUGGGAGGGAGAAGUUGAUGCACGGAUACUCCCAACUAAAAGCUUAUUCUGGUGGAUGUGGGCUUGCCAACUGGGAUUGCCGUUGCUUGUGAUCUCUGAUUGGUCUGCGUGAGAAGGGAAAGAUGCUGCAAUCUGAUACAACAUUUGGAUAGGCUGAACUUGGCCACGUGGCUGAUCAUGCUGCUGAUGUGGAGCAGUCAUGCUCAACCGCAUUGAGGAUGCCUUACCUUGGAUAACGUCCGUUAUCCAAUUACCAUCCCUUCAUUUUAUUUUAUUUCACUCCUUUUCCUUUUCUUUUCCAAUACUAGUUUCUGUUUUAAUUGGCUCUCUCCAUUCCAUUCUGCUGUUGAAGAGUUACCUUUGCAUAGAUUGGACCAAAAAAGAAGGUUGAUAAAAAUGUUGCAAACACAGUAACUAUCGUUAAUCUAAAAUUUUUAAAGUUACAAGCCAAAUCGUGAUUCUAUCUCAUUAUCCUUAUUUAUUAAGUGAAAAUUACGAAUCUUUUAAAUCCCAAGUGAACAACGACUAAAAAAAUUCAUAGAUUGUCUUGUAAUUUUCAUAAUAAUUACAAUGUAUAGAGUUUUAUAUAUGUAUUGUAACUUUUAAAAUUACAAUGGUUGUGAUGCUACUAGGUGUUUGUUUAGUCCGGUUACAGUCAAACUCUACCACUUAAUCAUCAGAAAAUGGUGUUGCUUCUCGUUACUUUCCAGAAUUCAAUUUCCAAUUUGUCCGCCAGAGCUAGAGUGCACUCCAGCGCCUAUAUUUCUCAAAAUUUUCUUCGCAGCACUAAAACUUAGCAAUCGCAUGGGCUUGUUAGAGUAUUAUUUGCUAAGAUCUACUCUGGGUAAACUGAAGCACCAGGAACAACUGAGUUUUAGUUCAGUGGCAACCAAAAAGGAAUUAAGGCCUCUUUGACUAUAGAUCAAGGGUUCAAACUCCACUUCAAAUGAGGUGUCAAAACACCCAUUUGAUUUAAUCGGAUCUGUAUAGGUUAUAAAAAUGUUAUCGUAACCAACAAAAAAAAAAAAAAAACACACACACACACACACUAACUACAUUUUCUGUUGUAACAACCAUACCAUAUUCAAAGCAGAAACACAGAAGGAAAAACUGAACCUGCAGAACCCUUGAAAGAAAGAAUCUCAAUUCAAGUCUCACUAGGACAUUGCAGUAGCAUGUCAAGCUACUGAUUCAAUAUUUACAAGAAAGCUACUUCAAUAUAAUAAUAAUCACUACAAUUAUUAUAUUAACAUAGAAAGGUUGCUCCCAAUCUCUCACUUGAGGCUUUCUUUAUUGCACUAUGAGGCUUUCAGCAUAAUUGUUGAGGUCAAAGACUGUAUAGAGACUCUUUUUGCAACCUAUUCCCUUGUAUACCUAUUCUUCCAUUUUUGAGUUUCACAUGCUACCAGCAAAUGAUUUACAACCCAAUCUCCUCCACACGUUCAGAUCAUUCACAAAAGAGCAAAGUCUAAAACCAAGAACCAAGAGCAGCGAGUUUGUGCAAACUUAUUGUCGUCUCCAUUUAUCCACCUCUGUGGAAGUAGCUUUGACUAGCUUUU
This 51664-nucleotide long non-coding RNA is filed under the name Coffea arabica (coffee). RNAcentral's name for it is "long non-coding RNA (CARA_LNC006983)". Lineage: Eukaryota; Viridiplantae; Streptophyta; Magnoliopsida; Gentianales; Rubiaceae. The record is from RNAcentral.